GUAAGUAAAUGGAUGAAUUAUGGGAGCAACCAAGUACUCUGCAACUUUUGCAGCAACGGAGAUAACAAUUUCCAUUAUCCCUUUCUUUUUUAUUUUUUGCUUUCAGAAAACAGGGGAAAGCAAAACUAAUCAAACUAAGCAGAAGUAAUCAAUCGGGUGGGAAGAGGGAAAUAAGAGGUUUGGAUAAAUUGCUAAAAUAAGAGGUUGAAUAGAUUUAAGGGAGGAAGGGAGGAAAAGAGUGAAAAGUCUAGAGAUGAAACAAAGGGGGACCUUUCUCUGAUAAGACAAAUUGAAAAGCGAGUGCAAUGAAAGAUUUGCAAAGAAGGUGUAGGAUCGAGGACAAGAACGAUUCAGAAAAGGGAGACAGAAAAUGAAGAAGAGAUUUCGGAGAACUCUAGAGAUUAGAGAAGAGGGAUGAUUAGGAUAAUGCAGAGGCAGACGGUUGUGAUCUCAAGUCUCAAGGGUAAUCUGAAUACUGCAAAAUGCCAAACUAAAUUCAUACGAGGAGAAGACUCGUGCUUCCAAGUCAACUAGAUUCUUAAUAUCUGAGAUAGAUGAUUUUUUUUAUAAUUGCAUGUAAAUAGUGUUAAAGUUAUAGGUUAAUUGGACAGCGGAAGGUGGCAUUUUGGCAUUUCAUUGAAUUUUCUUGUUACCAGUAAGUGCUAUGCUGCCGUUGCCGGACUUUAUGAUUUUUUUUUUUUUGAAUUUUCAUUGAAUUUUCUUGCGCUUUUCUAAUAACUCUGCUGUAAAGCCCAAGUUUCGGGACUUUAUGACUUUUUUUUUUAUAAAAAAUUUUCAUUGAAUUUUCUUGCGCUUUUCUAAUAACUCUGCUGUAAAGCCCAAGUUUCCGGAUAUAUGUGAUUAAAAGCUAAGCCAGUGGAUUUGUAAGCGAGCCCACGGCGAAGAAUUUGAGCAAGUAUUUUUAUCUUCUUAUUGUCACAUUCUUCUAAUUAAUUUGCUUUCACCAACAAGUAUAAUUAAUAAUUUGUAAAUAGUUGGAUCUUAAGCUCAAAUUUUGACAAUACAUGAAUGGUAAUGUAUACAUAUUUUUCAAGUGUAAACUCUAUUUAAGAGAGGAUCUCAAUUUUUAAGUUGAGAAGACUCGUGCUUCCAAGAUUCUAUCGUGUAUAAUGGGCAAGACAAUCUUUUUACUUCAAAAAUUUUACAUAAAUUUUUGUGGUUUGAUGGCGUCAAAUUCAAUGGAAACGAAAUAAGUGACUUGAAAAGAUCAAUUGAUCAGUGAUUUGUCAAAAGUUUACUGAUAUUAUUACCCUCCGACACGAUUUUAAGCUUUAUAUCCAGACUAGGGUGACAAAUAUCGUAGCACUACAAUCAUCAAUCUUACUUAGAUAUAAUUAUUUUUAUCUUCUUAUUGUCAUAUUCUUCUAAUCAAUUUUUUUCUUGUUUAUCAACAGAUAUAAUUAAAAAUGUGAAUGUUGGAUCUUGGACUGAAAUCUUUAAAUUUAAAAUCAUGAUCAUUUUAUCAGUAAACUGCAACUCUAUCUUGAUCAAAGUUUUCACCGAAGCAAACAAAGAUUAGUGAUUAGAUGUUAAUAAACAUUAAAAAAAAAUGCUAAUACACGAAUAAUAAGGUAUGCUAAGCGAUUAGACUAAAAAAAAAUGCAGGGGCACAUGUUUGAUCUCAAGACUCAAUGGGUAAUCUGAAUAAUGCAAAAAUGCCAAACUAAAUUUAUAUGAGGAGAAGACUCGUACUUCCAAGUCAACUAGAUUCUCAAUGAUUGAGAUAGAUAGUUAUAAGGGUUAUUAUGGUUUCAAUUUUUUUAAAAACAAUUAUAAGAUAUAAAAUAACUAUAAGAAGUAUUGGUGUUAUCAUUUUAUUAGUAUAUCUUUAAAAAAAACCUUUUAUUUUAUAAUAUUUUUGUUAAAAUUGUGAGUCCAAAACUAACGUCAUACUAAUAUGAAAGGGCUAAAAGUGUCUUUACAUUCAAAACUAUGAUAAAAUUGUAUGCAAAUUAACAUUACAAGGGCAGCAUAUUUAUUAUUGGUUAAGAAAGAGGGAAAAAAAAUUGGAAUCUCAAAUAUCUAGCGUCAUCGUUAUCUUUUUUUCUUCAUUUUUUUUUCUUUUUUCAGACAGUGGUCCGCCAUCUUUGAAAAAUUAUUGGCACUUUCGAAUGGGCAUUAAGCCGUGCAUUGGCAUUGAUGGUCUCAUCUGAAAGAGGAAUUAGAGGAAUUUUGGUAGCAGCAGUGGCUGUGCAAUUUUUUUUAAAAUGAUUUAUCUCUAGGAAUGCGUGAUCAAUUUGAAAGUGGAUUUUAUAUCAAAUUUCUUUGAGAUUGCUUUUCGAUUGAUCAGUUUGAUUUGGCUAUGGAAUGAUGGUUUUAUUACUAUGAGUUUGAAGGAUUUAUGAAAUAGAAAUUAAGAUUGAUAGAAAACAUAUUGAUCUCCGAGUUUUAAUGGCAGUUUCAACUUGUUAUCUUCAAGCCUCACCGGUGGUUUCAAUUUGAUACUUUGAUGAGAGCAAAAUUAGCAAUUUAGCACUAGAGGAAGAUAUUUAAUCACAAGUAUAAGAAGUUUUGACAGCGAAGAGAGGUAUUCUUCAACUAGGUUUAAUUUUUUAUUUUUGUUUUCUUAUGUUUUUAUUCAAAAUUUAAUUAAAUUUUAAAAUAAGGCCAUACUUGAUAUUUUAUUAGUUAACUAACAAUGAUAAACAGAAAUAUAGUAAAAUGAAAGAUUUUACAAAGAUACAAUAACAAAAUGCUAAACAUUAAUUUUUUUUUAUGGUAGUUUUUGAUAAUUUUAAGUGUUUAUUAAAUAUUUUACUAUUGUAAUUUAAAAAUUACAUUUGAUAAGCAAUAAUAGGAGAGAGAGAGAGAAUUAGGCUGCGUUUAUUUUUUGGAUUGGAUUGGGAAUCCUGAGGAGUGGGAACCCUAGGAUUGGGAGUGUGGAGUGGGAGUGGGAGUGAGAGUAGGUUGUUUACUUACACUGGAAUGGAAGCAUGGAAUAGAGAUCAGAAUUCAAUUUAUGUGUUUACUUUGUCUUGAAUUGUGAGUAAAUAGUUUCAAAUUAUAAUUUUAUACUUAUUUAAAGAAUUAUAGUUUUUAAUUACAAAACUAAUAAAAAAUAUAUUUAAUGAAUAAUAUUUAUUUUAUUAUAUUUGUAAAUUUAUUAUAAUUAUUAAUAUUCUUAAUUAUGAACAAUAAAUUAUUAAUUUUAAUAUAAAAUGAAACCUUAUUUUAUUUUAUUUAAUAUAAUUAUAUUAAAUUUAUUAUUAUAUAAAAUAAUAAUAUAAUAUUAUUUAGUACAAAAUUAAUAUUUUCUUAGAAUAAACUAUUUAUUAUUAUUAUUAAAUAAAUAUAGUACUAUUAUUUUUAAAAUAAAUAUAAUAAUAUUAUAUUUAUUAAUUCUCUAUUAAUAUAAUAUUAUUAUUUUAAAACAAUUUUAACUUAGAAUCAAUGCAAAUUAUUAUUUAGUUAAAUAUAAUAUUAUUAUUCAAAUAAAUAUAAUAAUAUUAUUCAAAUAAAUAUAAUAUUAUUUAUUUUAUUUUAUUAAUUAUUAUAUUAAAUUAAAUUAAAUUAAAAAUAAAAGGGUAAAAAAGGCAGAGGUGGAAGUGGAUUCCCACUCCCACCUCCCCCAAUGGGAGUCCCACUCCCACUCCCCACUCCAAAAAUGGGUGGAGCCCACGGAAUGAGAUUCUCAAUCUCUUCCCAUUUUGAGGAAGUAAACGCUGGAGUGGGAGGAAUCCACACUCCUCACUCCCACUCCAGCAAGUAAACACAACCUAAAUAGAUUGAGAAUGAUUUUUGAUUCAGGGCGAGUUUUCGAGUGCUUUACGAACAAUCAAAAUGCUAAUCCUAUUAGCCAAUAAACACAAGUGUUUUGUAAAGAACAUUACGGGAAAAACCCUCUAUAUAAAUAACAAUCGUGUAAUUACGGAGGGCGUGUCUUAAUUACAUGGCAGUUACAUUCAAUAACAACAAUAUUACAGUUGUCUUGUACCAACAAAGUGUUAGCUCCACUGGCAAUGGAGUCCCCUUAAGUGGCUUGAUUGGGUUUGCUCCCAAGUUUGAGUCGCAGGGAAGUCGCCUUUGUUGGGAGAACAUGUGCCUCCCGGUUCGAGUGGGGACUUCUAGUCUGAGUUGUGGUACGGACUUAAAAGUGUCUCCCACAGUUGGGGCCCUUCCCAGAAUACCUCAUGAUUAUAUCAAAAAAAAAAAUAUCACAGUUGUCUUGUUCUUUCACUGUUGAUAAUUAGAAUGAGCUGAUGAAGGCCAAGAGACCCAAAGUGAAGUGACCCAUGUGCUUUCCUAAUUACCCUGCUACAAACUAUAAAGCCGAAGUUUGCGGACUUUAUUAUCAUUUAAAAAAAAAAAUAGAUAUACAAAUAAAAAGACAAAAGAUGAGACUUAUAGUACUAGUGGGGGGCCCCCUGGGUCCUCAACUUCUUCAAAUCAAAUGGGCAUUUUAUCGAACAGUGGAUAUACUCGGCAUCUGCACUUGGAAGACGCGUUAAAAAAUUCUACAUCAUGUUAAAGUCAACUAGAAAGACAAAACAUAGAAAGCGACAAUCCAACAACUCAGUUAAAAUAUUCGCUGUAACAAAUGGUUGCGAUGACGUGUAUAUUUGGGAACAUCAAAUAUAAACAAAGACCAUGUGAAAAAGAAAAGCAAAAAGCUAGAAAUGAAAAAAGGGAGUACAGUGAAAGAUCUGCAAAGAAGGUUUAGGACAACGAUUAUUAUGAAAACGGGACCAGAAGAUGUAUAAGGGAUUUCAGAGAAUUUGAGAGAAGUGGGAUGAUUAAGAAAAUGCAGGAGCAGGACAUUUAUGACCUCUAUUAGUAAUUUGAUUUCGUGAAUCAUUUUCAGAAACAAAAUAAUGCAAACAAUUGGAGACUAGGUGAUGAUAAUGAAAGAUCACAUAACCUACUGGAUAAUUUAUGGAAAAUUUAUACUAAUAACCAUAAACAUUUUAGUUUUUUUCAUCUUAAUCCCCCAAACAAAUUUCUAUCAACAUUAGCCAUAAAAGACUCUUUGAGACCAAAAUAUCAUUCUCCCUCAUCUCCCUUUCACGCAUCUCUCCCAAACCAAACAAACACCCAUCAUCGGCACACCCAUCAUCGGCGGCAACAUCACCCAUCAUCGGCGGCAACAUCACCCGUCCAUUUAACAAAACUUAAGUUAGCCAUUUAACUUAUUUUCAUUAAUUUAAAAUGAAAUUUGAGAUUAAUAAUGGUUAUAAUUUGAGAAUAAUGGUGAUGGUGAUAGUGGUGGUGGUGUUUGUGGUGGUGAUUGUUAUUAUUUUGGGAGUAUAUUGAUUUGAGAGUAUAUUGAAUUGGGAAAUGAUUUGGGGAAUUUUAGGGGGGAUGGGGGUGGCAGUGCGCGCGCGCACUCGCGCGGCCCGCUACUGCACCAAUUUGGUGCGACAGCACGGCUCUGUUGCACCAUUUUUGGUGUGACAGGCACAUUUUUGCCUGUCGCACCAAAAAUUACAGUGGUAUUUUUUUUUUACAAGUCAAGUUUUUUUUUUUUUUUUGCUGUAAAUGUAAUGUAAUAAUUUUAUAAAUAUUACAGAUACAUGGCGAAAUCAGAAUCACCGGAUAUCGAAGUAGGCAAGAUGUAUUUUGGUUAUGCUGAUCACUUUCCUAGUCGAAUUUCGAGCAUGUGUAAGUUAUCUUCGGUCGUAAAAGUCAUCGAGGAAAAAUUAACAAAGCGGCAGUUGAAUAUGUUCAAGAAGGAUAUAUUUGGGAAUUUCUUGGAGUGUCGAAGUUUUCCAUUUAGUGGGGUAAUUUUGCACAAUCUUUUACUAAGGCAAGUGGCCCAUGAAGAAGAUAGCCGUGAGGAUCAGUUAUGGUUUCAAAUUGGUGAGCAUUUGAUUCGCUUGUCAAUUGUAGAAUGGUGCUUGGUUACUGGACUUUCAUAUAGUGUUGAUACCCAACUAAGUGAUGACAAAAAGUGGAUAGGCUACGGAAAACAUAAUUUGGUGGUGCGCAUCACAAGAUCAAUGUUAAGGAAUUCGAUGCAUUAUUUAAGGAGUUGAAAUUCGAGGAAAUGGACGAUAUGGACGCAUUAAAGAUUGUGCUCUUUUAUUUUGCGGACAGAGUACUAAAUGCAAAAAAAAGUCACUGUCAAAUCAAUUUCGAUUGGUUUAAUGAAGUUGAUGAUAUACAGUACUUCCGAAACCGUCCAUGGGGUCUUGUGUCGUGGGAAAUGGUAUAUGUUAGUCUUGAUGAUGCACUAUUCGAGAAAGACGAGAAAUUUAAGACGACUCAGUUGAAAAACCCAGAUCAUAACAUUGAAAAGUACAAUCUUUACGGCUUUACGUCUGGUGUUCAGGUGCGUUGUUUUUUUGUUUAUUAAUAAGUUUUAUAGUAUUAAAUAUUUGAUAGAUGUGUUAAUAGAUUUUUCACUUUGGUUGUUGCAGGCUUGGAUUUACGAAGCGAUCGGAGGUUUGCCGUCAACAUGGGUCGUGAAAACGAAGAACAAGAUUCCUCGCAUCGUGUAAUGGAAGUGUUGUGCAAAUUUUAAUGUACUCGCAAGCGCACGAAUCUAUUGUAGUAUAGAUCAAUGGUGACGAGUGUCGAUCCCACGAGGAGGUGGAUUUUAAUUGUGUAUAGAAUUAAUUUUGCAAAUGGUUGAUUGGAUUUGUGGUGGAAAUGAUUUGGAAUAUGCUAAAACUUAAAUUAAAAUGGCGAGAAUAAAUUCUGAAAUUGGAAUUGAAAUGGCGAGAAUAAAUUGAAGAGAAUUCUAUUGAAAUGACGUACUUGGGUAUCUAGAUCCGUAUCAACAUGCAUCAUGGGCUAAAUAAUCCGUAUUAAUGCCAAUUAAAUCAUGAGGGGGGAAUCCACACCUCAUGAACCACGCUCUAAUCAAUAUGGUGCUAAGGGCUUAUCGUGCCAAAUAAUAAUAACCUUAUACUAGAGAGCCGAUGUAACCAAGGCGGUAUCUAGACAAGAUCAGUAUUAUUUGUCGACGAUAAGUCAAAUCAUCCACAAAAACUAGAGGGGAAAAGAAAAUAAAUUUACCAAAUAAAGCCCAUGACACAUGUUGAGACUUCACCUUCAACCCAAGCUUGAAAAGAAAUUAGCUACUCAUAAUUGAACUGGGGGCAAAAUGGGAAUUUAUUAAAAUAUAAAGAAAAUACAAGAUGGAGAAGGAAUUACAGAAAAUGGAUCCCAAAAAUGGAUUCAGAGAUAUCAAAUUAGGGGGGAGAGGCCCCCUUUUUAUAGAUACAUGGAGUAAAUCAUGGCCAUCGGAUUAAAAACAGUUUGGACGCUCAGGAUUGCGCCACGUCAUCAGUCAACAGUCCACGGUUUGACCACGCGGAUGAACAGUAACAUGGUUUGACCCGGAUGAACAGUAACGCGGUUUGACCCGGAUGAACAGUAACACGGUUUGGUUGAAAAUAAUCCUGUGUGAUGCAUGCACCGUACGCGAGAUUUUUUGUCCACUGAUAUGCUGCCACGUCACCAUCAACAGUACAUAAGAAUUUUAGUCCAACAGGAUCGUGACACCUCAUCAGUCAAUGCCACAUCAUCGGUCAAUGCCACGUCAUCAUCCAUCUAUGUGAACAGUAUCGUGAACAAUAACGUAUACAGUACCGUACACGUGAAUAGUUCCGUACAUGUGAAUAGUGCCAUUUUUUCUUUUAUGCCCCUCCUAAGGUUUUCGACUGUCCUGAGUUGAAAAGUGAUGUCCGUUUUGCCGUCUGAUCUCUCCUUUAUUGUGAAAUGACUAUAAUGCCCCUAAAAUACAUAAAAUACUUAAUUAAAAUAACAUACGCGUAAUUACAUCACAAGAAGGUUAAAUACAUAAAAGUAAGAGUUGUUAGUAAGACUUGAAAUGUAAAAUGAUGGUUUUCUCCUUUAUAAAUAUGCAUUUUCUAACACUCAACACACCCCCCAACCAGCUUAUUGCUAGUCCCUAGCAAAUAAAGCGAAAACAAAAUUCAAAUUCAAAAUGAUUUAUUUUUUAUUUUUUAUUUUUAUUUUUUAUUUUUAGAAACACUCGUGUUUAUUCAAUCAGAUUAAUGAUAGCAAUCAAAUAAAAGUAUAAGCAUUAUCUCCAGUCUAAAGUAACAUCACACCCACAUCAACCAUCCACAUGAAUUAGCCCAGUAGACUUUGUUAUAGCUACUUUCAAGAAUGACAUGUCAAACCCCAAAAUCUCACUGGAAGUAGUGACACUCUCACAAAGAAAUUAAAACCCAAUAAACAUAGUCACUUCAAUGAAUGGUAUUUGAGAGAGAAAAUAAUAAAGAAAUGAUAUCACAUGCUCUCACCAAGAUGAAAUAAAUAUGCCCUCAACUUAGAAAUAAUACGAUCUCAAGUCAAAUAAAAUGUUAGUCAACCCACUUUAUUUAUCUUUUUUUUUUCUUUUUUUUCUUUUAUUAUGCAUCACUACAUCUUUUUAGCCCAUAUAACUAGCUUCUACUUCAAACUAUAGUUCCCUAAAAUCAAGAAGGACUUUUAUUAGGACGUAACGUAGGCUAGGGAUAUGGCUAACAAAGAAAGGAAAUAAGGAAAACAAAGUGUAUGUUUGAGAAAAAUGCAGAUUUUUUUUUUUUUUUGGAACUUGCAAGGUGGAUUUCACCUAUUAUUGUUAUUUUUAUUCUUUUGAAACAACAACUUUUGUUUUUGUUUUUGUUUUUGUUUUUUUUUUUGCUUUUAUUUGGCAUAACUUCUCUGAACAACAUAAUUAUUUACAUUUUCUCAAACAUAAAUAGGUGAUGGAACUUAAAAGAUAUUGGGUAAUACUCCAAAUCGGAGUGGGUCAAGAUGAUAAGUUGACAAAGAAAAGGUUUUUGUUCUUUUUUUUUUUUUUUAAAGGCUCAAAAGGGGUAACUAUGGAUAUUUAAUAAAAGGGAUGGCUAGAAAGGCUCAAACGGAUCAAAGAUGGCCUUUCCAUUGUCUUUUAGGGCUCUAAAUAAUUAUCCAUAUCUACUAGUUAGAUGGGCCUCCCAAUGUAGCAACACACAUUUUUUUCUUUUUUUUAAUUUUACCAUAUUAUUUUUUUUUAAAGGGUUAACUUAAAAGAAAUCUAGAGAUCGUGUAUAAAAUAAUAAACUGCUAAGCUGUAUAGAGAAUGGGCAAAAGGGUUACUCUCCAAGAAAAUGAUAGGCUCAACAACUCACUUGGCACUUAUUUAUGACAUGUUCAUUCCUUCAAGCAACUCAUAUUUGUCUCCGACAUCAACAUGUAAAGUAGCAAACAUAGCGUAACAUCACUUAAGACCAAAGAUAAUACAAAUACUAAAAUUUGAAAUUAAUCAUGUUAUCCAAUGUUAAAACAAAUAACACAAUUUUUUUUUUUUAAACAACAUUCUACCCCCCAACCUAUUCUAAACAUGAAAGGACAAUAUGCAUGCAGAAAUGUGAAAAUGAUGUAGAAAAAAUUAAUUAGAAAAAGAAAUUUUUUUUUUUUAACUAAGAAGAUGCGUUUCUAGAGGCACUACACUCCAUAUUCAGCCAUCUUCGACUCAAAAAUUUGAAAAUAUAUAUUUAUAAAGGAGAAAGAGGAAGAAAACGAUUUUUUUUUGUUUUUUUUUUGUUUUUUAAACGAUGAAGAUGCGUUUCUAGAGUAACUACACUCCAUAUUCAGCCAUCUUAAACACAAAAUGUUAGCAACAGUUAGUUUCUACAACAAAAAAUCAGUAAAAACUUAACCAAGAUUCCACAAUUGUCGACUAUUCCCUCCCCCCAACCAGAACGAAACAUUGUCCUCAAUGUUUUAAAGGAAAGAAGUAGAGUUUAGAAUACAUCACCUGGGUGGUGCAACACAGAAGAAAAUAUUUACAGGCGGAGAGUUAUAUCUAAUUUGUACUUCUUACUGCGGCUACUGUUACCAUCAUUAUUUGGUCGCUCCAACACAAAGGUCCAGGGGUCUGGCUCCGGUUUAUAAGCUUGUAACAUAUCAAGUAGCUCAUUAGCAGUGUGAGCACAAAUAAAGAGUUUUUUCACAUUAGAAGGAAUGAAAUAGUUUUUUAUUGCAUGGUUAAGAAAUGCGAUAAAGCCAUCAUAAAAGUUAUUGACAUUUAACAAACCGAUGGGUUUAUGGUGGAUGUGCAGAUGGGCCCAAGAUGCUAGUGUGAUAAGUGCCUCUAGUGUUGCAAGAUCUCCUGGAAGGAAAAUAAAAGCAUCAGCAUGAUUAAGCAUUUCAGUUAUUCUUUCUUGCAUACCUGAGACGACUAACUCUUCUCCAGUUGAUGAGUCAGACGAACUACCCAAUGGUUUUAGGACUCUUGGGAUGAUGCCUAACACUUGACUUCCUCUGAUAAAAGCUGCUUCUGAGACCAUUUUUGAUAACCCUCGGUUACCUCCUCCAUACACCAAAUGUAAUUUUCUCGCUGCUAUGCUUCGACCAAGAUCUAUGGCUGCCUCCACGAACUCUUUAUGUUUGCCAUAGGUAAAUCCAGAAAGCACACAAAUGUUCUUGAAUUGUCUAUUGGGAGUAGCUGCCAUUGUGAUACUUCUCAAAAACAAUUUGUGAGUGCUUGACAAAAGAUAAAUUACAUUUAAGAAUCUUGGUGACAGUGGAUCACAGCUGUGAAUGAGGUAACAUGUCAGUGUCAAAUAACGCGUAAAGCACGUGGCUCGCGAGUCAAAAAGGAAACAGUAAAAAGGAAAAAGCAAACAGUAACAAAAUUAUUAAAGACAAUAAUGCAAACAAUAAAACAACAUUGAAAUGAAAUAAAAUAAUAGUAAAGUAAAAGGAUAUUUACAUGUAGUUGCGACUGUGGCUCACAUCUUCCUCUGGUUUUACGUCCAGAAACGGCUUGAACGCCCUCUAUGGGUCGAGGAUCGGCUUCCCAUCCAGUUUUCUUAUAAACUGACAAACAGGGUCGUUUAUAGUCAGAUUCCCGAGACUAUAUCGUGCAUGCUCUUUCUGGAAUAAUGGCCAUAACCGGAGAAUCGCUCCUUGCACAUAUCCACUGGGAUGCGUUUCAAGAGACAAAAGGAUAUCAUCCAAUGACUCCUUAUUCAAGCCAUCCCUAAUGAAUUGAAUCUUAUCUUCCCUGUUAUCAGACACCAUUCCUAAAGAACAUGGGUUUCUAUCGCAACUCAUUCUGGCACACUUAUGACAAGCAACAGAAAUUCUUCGAGCUCGUCGUUUUCUUGCAUAAUUUCCUUUACCACAACCAGGCAUGUAUGCAAUAAAUUUUGGAGGUAACUCACCUGCCGAUCGUACUUUAGCCUCGAUUAACCAACGGAUGUCAGCAGGUAUGUUAUUCUUCAUGAGUAAUCGCAUGCGUUCGGACCGAGCUUUAUAGAUCGUAAGGAGGGCAUUCUGAGGAAGUGAAGGGAAUCGCUUGUGAAGCUUCGUUAGAAUCUCGUUUCUGUCCAUACUUUCGCCUCAGAAUGUCAGUUAUUGUGGGAAACUGAAGUAACCGACUUGAUUGUCACGGAGUACCGUUAUCCGCCAUUUCACCGGGGUAACAAACUAAAGCACACAAACAGAAAAACAAAUUAAAACACACAAAGAAAAUUAAAAUCGUCCUCUUAUUGAAUUUACCUCAAGCUCCAACUGGAUGUCGUAAACACUUCUCUCAAUGUCUCUGAGUUGGCGUUCUAAACCCUCAACAUAGGUUACUAACUCUGGUGGUUGUAGAGCCCAAAUACGUUGUGUUUUACAAAAUUGAAUCUGCUUUUUGAGAUGAGUUUUGACACGUUGAAGUGGUUUAAGAAUGUUCAGGAGGAACGGUCUAAGUAUGGUACUCAUGAUUAACAAUGAUAAGAAAAAAAAAACUUAAUGGUAAAACAAACACACUUAUGCAAAAAUAAUUUCAAUUAGCAAAAGAAUAAUAAAAAGAAAGAAAGAAAAAUCAAAUCAACAAAAAGAAAAAAAAUCAAUUCAAAUCUGGUGGGUCACUCAAAUUUAUUUCGGUGUCUUCUCCAUGUGGUUGGUACUCAAGAUAUGGCUUUAAUCUUUGACCAUUAACUUUAAACGUGACACCGUUCUUUGGGUCCUUAAUUUCAAUUGCCCCAUGUGGAAAAACAGUAUGAACAAUAAAGGGACCAGACCAUUCUAGAGCGUAACUUACCUGGGAAUAGAUGCAAACGAGAAUUGAAUAAAAGCACUUUCUGACCUGGAGUGAACAAUUUUCUCAUAAUGUGCUUGUCAUGAAAGACUUUCAUUCGUUGCUUGUAAAUUUUGGCAUUUUCGUAUGCAUCAUUGCGAAUUUCUUCAAGUUCUGCCAGUUGUAAUCUUCUUUCUGAGCUGGCUUGCUGCAUGUCAAAGUUGAAUUUCUUGAUGGCCCAAUACGCACGAUGCUCGAGUUCUACAGGUAGGUGGCAAGCUUUUCCAUACACUAGCCUAUAGGGUGACAUCCCAAUUGGGGUCUUGAAAGCUGUUCUAUAUGCCCAUAAUGCAUCAUCAAGUCUUAAUGACCAAUCUUUUCUGUCUGGCCUCACCGUCUUUUCUAAUAUGUGCUUUAUUUCUCGAUUGGAGAUCUCAACUUGGCCACUGGUUUGCGGAUGAUACGGGGUUGCCACUUUGUGUGUGAUUGAAUACUUUGUCAAAAGAGCUUUGAAUGCUUUGUUACAAAAGUGGGCACCACCAUCACUGAUUAUUGCUCGAGGGAAUCCAAAGCGUGAGACAAUGUUGCUUUUCAAAAAUCCUAUCACCACUUUGUGAUCAUUGGUUCUACAUGGAAUUGCUUCUACCCAUUUUGAGACGUAGUCAACACCAACCAAUAUGUAUUGAUGGCCAAAAGAAGAGGGAAAGGGUCCCAUGAAGUCGAUACCCCAUACGUCAAAAAUCUCAACCACUAAAAUUGGAUUUAGUGGCAUCAUGUUCCUUCGUGUAAUACUCCCCAUUCGUUGACACCUAUCACAUGAAGAACAGAAAGUGUAAGCAUCUCGAAAUAUAGUUGGCCAAUAAAAACCACAUUGUAAAACUUUAGUCGCUGUUUUCUUAGCACUGAAAUGGCCUCCACAAGCUUGUUCAUGGCAGAAUGAAAGGAUAUUCUGAAUUUCACUUUCUGGGACACAUCGUCUAACAAUUUGGUCUGCACAAUACUUGAACAAAUACGGGUCAUCCCAAAAGAAAUUCUUUAUUUCUGCAAAGAAUUUAGCCUUGUCUUGCUUGGUCCAAUGCUCUGGAAGUUUACCUGUAACAAGAUAAUUAACUAUAUCAGCAUACCAAGGUAAUACUUCCACAUUCAUUAAUUGUUCAUCUGGGAAUGACUCAUUCAAUAUUAAUGGCUCUGUAAUUGUGUCAAAAUGGAGACGAGAGAGAUGGUCCGCCACAACAUUUUCUGUCCCUUUCUUAUCUUUGAAUUCCAAGUCAAAUUCCUGCAAAAGUAACACCCAACGAAUUAGUCUAGCUUUUGCAUCUUUCUUUGUGAGAAGAUAUUUAAGAGCAGCAUGAUCUGUGAAUAUAAUUAUUUUACAACCAAUGAGAUAAGAUCGAAAUUUUUCCAAUGCAAACACUACUGCUAGCAUUUCUUUUUCAGUAGUUGAAUAGUUCAACUGUGCAUCAUUCAAUGUCAUACUAGCAUAGUAAAUAACAUGGGGAACUCGAUCAACUCUUUGUCCUAAUACUGCUCCUACUGCAUAAUCAGAUGCAUCACACAUGAGCUCAAAUGGUAAGCUCCAGUUUGGGGGCUGAAUGAUGGGUGAUGAUGUCAACAAAUGCUUUAAUUUUUCAAACGCAACAAGACAUGAAUCAUUAAAGAUAAAAGGUACAUCCUUAGCAAGUAAAUUGCAUAAGGGUCUAGAAACUUUGCUAAAAUCUUUAAUGAAACGUCUAUAGAAACCAGCAUGUCCAAGGAAAGAUCUUACUUCUCUGACUGUUUUAGGUGGAGGAAGAUUAGAAAUGAGAUCCACCUUAGCUUUGUCAACCUCAAUACCUUUGCUCGAAAUGAUGUGACCGAGAACAAUACCAUGUUUUACCAUAAAAUGGCACUUCUCCCAAUUCAAGACUAAGUUCUUCUCGAUACAUCUCUGCAGAACUAGUGUUAGAUGAUGUAAACAUUGAUCAAACGAGUCACCAAAGACAGAAAAAUCAUCCAUAAAGACUUCAAGGAAUCGUUCCACCAUAUCAGAAAAAAUGCUCAACAUGCAUCGUUGAAAUGUAGCAGGUGCAUUACAUAAUCCAAAUGGCAUUCUCCUAUAUGCAAAAGUGCCAAAAGGGCAAGUGAAAGUAGUUUUCUCCUGAUCUUUUGGUGCUAUGGGAAUCUGAUUAUAUCCUGAGUAGCCAUCUAGGAAGCAAUAAAAUUCAUGGCCUGCUAAUCUAUCAAGCAUUUGAUCGAUAUUUGAUCGAUAAAUGGUAAAAGAAAAUGGUCUUUACGUGUGACAGAAUUCAACUUUCUAUAAUCAAUGCAUACACGCCAUCCUGUAGUUACUCUAGUUGGUAUCAAUUCAUUAUCGGCAUUCGUAACUACUGUGACUCCUGACUUUUUGGGGACAACUUGUACAGGACUGACCCAUGAACUAUCAGAAAUUGGGUAAAUGAUACCUGCGUCUAAUAGCUUAAGGACUUCUGUUCUAACAACUUCUUUCAUAUUAGGAUUUAACCGACGUUGCAUUUCCCUAGUAGAUUUAGCAUUUUCAUCAAGAUGAAUGUAAUGCAUGCAAUCUGCAGGGUUUAUACCUUUUAUGUCUGCUAUGGUCCAUCCUAAUGCUCCUUUGUGCUCUUUUAAAACAUCCAACAACUUACAUUUUUGUUCGUCAUUUAGGGAUGAUGAGAUGAUUACUGGUAGAGUGCUUUCUUCUCCCAAAAAUGCAUAUUCCAAUGUGUUGGGCAAUGGUUUGAGCUCGAGUUUCGGUGGUGAUUCUGAUGAUGGGAUGAGUUUCUUCUCUGAUGGUGCUAGUUGUUCAACUCUUGACUUCCAUUUAUUAGUGUCCAUGGAUGGUGCUGAGUCAAGUAGGGCGUUGACCUCUUCGAUCGAUCUAUCAAUAUCAAAAUCAAAACUAAAGUGAGUUAAGCAUGUCUGUAAAGGAUCAUCACUAAGGUUUGAAAGAAAAGUGUCAUCAAUUAAUGCUUCAAUUAAAUCCACAUCAACAACUUCAUCAUCUGCAUUAUGAGGUUGUUUGGCAAUGUUGAAAAUGUUUAGUUCCAUAGUCAUGUUGCCGAAGGACAACUGCAUAUUUCCAGUCCUGCAUUGAAUGUGAGCAUCCGCAGUUGCCAAGAAAGGUCGGCCUAGGAUAAUGGGGAUGUGCUUCCUUGAAUCCUGUAUUGGUUGAGUGUCAAUUACAAUGAAAUCAACAGGAAAAUAAAACUUGUCUACCUGGAUAAGCACGUCCUCCACAAUACCACGAGGUAUUUUCGUGGACCGAUCUGCAAGCUGUAACACCACUGGAGUUGGGUGUAAUUCUCCCAGUCCAAGUUUCACGAAUACAGAGUAAGGCAAAAGAUUUACACUAGCUCCUAAAUCCAACAAAGCAUUCUCAAUUGUGUGGUUCCCUAUACUACAUGAGAUAGUAGGGGAGCUUGGGUCUUUGCAUUUUAGAGGAAUUUUAUGUUGGAGUAUAGAACUAACGUUUUCUGUUAAAAAGGCCUUCUUUUGAACAUGCAUAUUUCUCUUUUUAGUACAAAGGUCUUUAAGAAACUUGGCAUAAGAUGGAAUUUGUUUUAUAGCAUCAAGCAAAGGGAUAUUGACACUUACCUGUUUGAAGAAUUCGAGAAUCUCACCUGUGGAUUUUCCCUUCUUUCCUUUAGCUAACCUCUGAGGAAAUGGAGCUUUGGGAACGUAUUCUCGUGGGUUGGUUUCUUCUUUUUCCUCCGGUGGUGAGUCCUCAGCAUUCACAGGUACAAUUUGAUUUUCUUUUGUCACUGGCAUCUCCACUUUGUUGUCGACUUCCUUUCCUUUUCGCAAGGUCAUGACUGCUUUGACCUCUCCAUGCUGUUGUGGUGAACUGGUACUUGCUUCAUGUACUCCUUUAGGAUUAGGCACUGGUUGACUUGGAAAUUUACCUUUCUCAACAGUAAUUGCCAAGGUCUGAACUGAAGAAGCAAGUUGUCCCACCAUCUUCUCGAGGCUUGAAACUGAUUGGGCUUGUGAGUUGAAGCCCGCUCUCAACUCAUUUCGUAGUCCAUCAAUGGUGCGAUUCUGUUGCUCAAUCGUAGAGUGAGUAACAUUCUUGAAAUUCUGGAAUGCAUCCUCCCAUGGUCUGGGUUGAGAGUAGUUCUGGUUCUGAUUGUAUGUUCUAAAUGGGGGCUGAGAGGCUUGAGGAACUUGAGGAAUUUGUUGCAUUGGUGGAGCUAGAGCUGCUGGUCCAUUUUGUUGGAAUCCUUGAGACCAUGAAAAAUUGGGGUGGUCUCUCCAUCCAGGGUUAUAUGUGUUGGAGUAUGGGUUGUAAUUUGAUGGCUUUCUCAUUACACCUAUGGCAUUGGCUUGAUCUGGGUAUGAGUCAUGGUCAUGUGGUUCUGUUGAUUUAGCAGUCGAUAACGAUGCUAUUUGUCGAGAGAGACCUUCAAUUAUCGCUUUGACUUCUUUAAUUUCUGAACUUGACUCGCCAAUGUGAACCUCAUUUACUCCCUUAAUUCUUCUAGUAUUCCUGAGUGAUCGACUCCGUUGUUGGGAAUUAUCCGCUUGUCGCUGGAAGAAUUCCCAAAUCUCUGAUGCACUUUUUGACAUUAGCUCUCCUCCACUUGUUGCCAUUAGCCAUUCUUGCACAUUCGGCAAUAAUCCCUCCAAAAAGUAUUGGCAUUGGUGCCAUUUCUCGUACCCAUGAUGUGGACACUUCAAGAGUAGCCCAUUGAAUCGCUCCCACGUUUCGAAAAACUGCUCGUCAUCUCUCUGGGUAAACUCUGAGAUUUCCCUGCGAAUAGCAUUGGUUUUAUGCACUGGGAAAUAUUUAUUUAAAAAUUUCGUUACCAUUUGUUCCCAUGAUGAAAUGCUAUUAGCAGGUAAAGUAUUUAACCAUGAACGAGCUCUAUCUUUUAAAGAAAAUGGGAAUAGUCUAAGUUUAACAUCAUCGUCUGAAAAAUUUUCAUAUUUAAAAGUUUGACAAAUGGCAUGAAAAUCAUUCAGAUGAUUAUAUGGAUCCUCAUUUUCUAGGCCAUAGAAUGUGGGGAGACAAUUUAGCACACUAGGUUUUAAUUCAAAACUCCUAGCAGCUACAUUUGGGUAUCUUAUGCAUGAUGUGCUCAAAUUAGCUAAGGGACUAAAAUAGUCCUUAAAUGGCCUCUCCUGUGGUGCUUGUAAAUCCAUUCCAAAUUUAUUUUUAAUGUGCUUGUGUGUGCGAAGUGUUUUCUCAAGUUCAAGGUCUAUAGGUUCAAGAUUAGGUAAUAAAGACCUACGACCAUGCAUACAAGGAACACAAAGAUAAAUCGGAACAAAACGAAUAAAAAUAAAGAAAAAGAAGAAAUUACGAUACUAACCUUAUUGCGCUGUUACAACUUUUCUAUAAAAAUACACUAAAACAAAUACGUGAAAUAAAUUAACUAAAAAUAAAUUAAUAAAAAAAAUUACAAAGAAAAAUAACUUAAAAAUUAAAUUGCAGAAUUGUAAAGAAUAGAGAAAGAAAAGAAAUUAUUACCUCUAAUUGCAUAUUCACUUUUUUUUUCUCUUUUUUUUUGUUUAUAAAAAAAAAUACAAGAAAACAAAUAAAAGAAAUUAUUCACAAAAAUUAAUUCUAUGAAUUAAAAUUACUUACCUCCCCGGCAACGGCGCCAAAAACUUGUUGUGCAAAUUUUAAUGUACUCGCAAGCGCACGAAUCUAUUGUAGUAUAGAUCAAUGGUGACGAGUGUCGAUCCCACGAGGAGGUGGAUUUUAAUUGUGUAUAGAAUUAAUUUUGCAAAUGGUUGAUUGGAUUUGUGGUGGAAAUGAUUUAGAAUAUGCUAAAACUUAAAUUAAAAUGGCGAGAAUAAAUUCUGAAAUUGGAAUUGAAAUGGCGAGAAUAAAUUGAAGAGAAUUCUAUUGAAAUGAUGUACUUGGGUAUCUGGAUCCGUAUCAACAUGCAUCAUGGGCUAAAUAAUCCGUAUUAAUGCCAAUUAAAUCAUGAGGGGGGAAUCCACACCUCAUGAACCACGCUCUAAUCAAUAUGGUGCUAAGGGCUUAUCGUGCCAAAUAAUAAUAACCUUAUACUAGAGAGCCGGUGUAACCAAGGCGGUAUCUAGACAAGAUCAGUAUUAUUUGUCGACGAUAAGUCAAAUCAUCCACAAAAACUAGAGGGGAAAAGAAAAUAAAUUUACCAAAUAAAGCCCAUGACAUAUGUUGAGACUUCACCUUCAACCCAAGCUUGAAAAGAAAUUAGCUACUCAUAAUUGAACUAGGGGUAAAAUGGGAAUUUAUUAAAAUACAAAGAAAAUACAAGAUGGAGAAGGAAUUACAGAAAAUGGAUCCCAAAAAUGGAUUCAGAGAUAUCAAAUUAGGGGGGAGAGGCCCCCUUUUUAUAGAUACAUGGAGUAAAUCAUGGUCAUCGGAUUAAAAACAGUUUGGACGCUCAGGAUUGCGCCACGUCAUCAGUCAACAGUCCACGGUUUGACCACGCGGAUGAACAGUAACAUGGUUUGACCCGGAUGAACAGUAACGCGGUUUGACCCGGAUAAACAGUAACACGGUUUGGUUGAAAAUAAUCCUGUGUGAUGCAUGCACCGUACGCGAGAUUUUUUGUCCACUGAUAUGCUGCCACGUCACCAUCAACAGUACAUAAGAAUUUUAGUCCAACAGGAUCGUGACACCUCAUCAGUCAAUGCCACAUCAUCGGUCAAUGCCACGUCAUCAUCCAUCUAUGUGAACAGUACGUGAACAAUAACGUAUACAGUACCGUACACGUGAAUAGUUCCGUACAUGUGAAUAGUGUCAUUUUUCCUUUUAUGCCCCUCCUAAGGUUUUCGACUGUCCUGAGUUCAAAAGUGAUGUCCGUUUUGCCGUCUGAUCUCUCCUUUAUUGUGAAAUGACUAUAAUGCCCCUAAAAUACAUAAAAUACUUAAUUAAAAUAACAUACGCGUAAUUACAUCACAAGAAGGUUAAAUACAUAAAAGUAAGAGUUGUUAGUAAGACUUGAAAUGUAAAAUGAUGGUUUUCUCCUUUAUAAAUAUGCAUUUUCUAACACUCAACAGGAAGCCCAUGGCGUCUUCGAGAAUCAACUUUGCUGAGGUUUAUUCAUUCUUCAACGACGAAUCUCGUAUUGUAAGUAAUAUGUAUUAGUUAUUUUUUUAACUUUACUAAAUUUAAGUUAUGUAUACGUAAAAUUUUCAAUUGAAUUUAUGGCAGGGGGACGUUUUACAAACCCUUGAGCCAAAUUCAAAGGAGAGUAGCAGAAAAUAUUAGCUCACUGUGAAGGAUUACAUGCCAAGCAUUCCAGACUGGGUUCAUAAGGUCGGUUAUAAAUCUAAGUACUAUAAAUUAUAUUUAAUCGAAAUUUUUGACUUUUCAUUUAUUAAUUUUAAACGAUACUUGAUACAACACCAACCCUCAAUCAAUGCGAUGCCAUCGGUUUCAAGGCAAUCAGACGAGCAUGACGAGCAUGACGACAUACCAAACCCAACACCAGAGCAGCGUCAUGACACUUCUGAGGAUGAGGUGGCUGUUGAUGACCACCAGGAGCAGACACAUGCCAACUCUGAUGACGCACAUGAUUCUGAGGUUAUAAAUAAUAUACGAUAUUCUUCUUUUAUUAAUCAUUAUUGUUUUACUGUUAUUGUAAAGAUUUACUUAUUUUCUUUUGUAAUAGUCGAGGACAAAGCAGUUUAAUGAUUAUGUGCGACGACGGCUUGAUAAGAUUGCUCGUAACGUGUAUGAAUUGAAGUCGGAAUUAAAAGAUUUUAAAGAAACCGUGGUUGGCUUUAUCGACACCUUUUCUACACGUCCAAAUAAGGAUUCUCCCACAGGACGCUCGUAUGCGGUGAGCAUAAUUAAAUUUAAUAAUUAUGUUCGUUUAACUUUUAAUUUAAUAGUUGUUUAAUAUGUUCAUCUUGGAGAAUGGAUAGGCCCCGGAUGACUAUGGAGUGUAUACUGACGUGGGCAAUCAAAAUUUGUCUACGCCCACGUCAUUGUAUAGUUUCUACGGGGAUGUUAGUGGGGAGAGCGUGCAGGUGUUCUCUGAGGUGCCUCCAGGCGUUAGUAAGUUCGGCCGCGCGUACAUACUGUCGUAUGUUUAUAACAGUCCUUACAUGAUUCCUCCACUCAGGCGAGGAAAGAACGCCCGGCUUAUACCUCGAUCCCAAAUCAUGGACCAUGCCCAAGACAUGAAUACGAGUGUAGAUAUAAAUCCACUGAGAGGAUUGGAGGAUUCUAGUCUGUUUACUGAGUUUGAUCGAUGGUUCGCUGGUAAUAUGACAGUGGUUCGGAGAGUCCAGCACCCGCGGUCAUUUUUUCAAAUACUUUUGGGUUUAACUUCGAUGGGAUGGCUAGGCGAUGAGGUAAUUAUAUCUUCGAAGUUCUUUGAGUGUUGUGGAUUUGUGUAUAAAUUUUAUUUUUUAAAUCGUAAUGUUUCUGUUUCUCAACAGCAUAUUCACGAGUAUCUUCGCUUGAUUAGCGAGAAACAACGGCAGUAUCUGAAUGCCUUAGUUCAACGUGUCACACAUACUGACACAUUUUUUUGGGUAACGUGCCGACAAAACUUAUAAAUACUAUUUAUGUUUUUUUAAUUAUUGCCUUUAAGUUUUGUUAAUUUAUGCAUUUCUUGGUUAUCUGUGUACUAGGUGUUCUUGAAUCAGUUAUGGAACAACGGGGAUUGUGCGGUCGAUUCAUUAGUAUUCGACGACUGCUUGAAUAGUUAUCUUUGUGGGCAACAGCACACAAUGUCCAAAUCAAUGACGGAUAUCGAUAUGGUAUGUAUUUUAUUGCAUUUCACAUACUCCAUAAUGAAAAUAUCCAAGUUGUCGUUUUUUCUUGGUUGUAUUUCAAUUUCAUAUAUAACGGGCAUGUUUUUCAAUUUUUAUAUACAGUUACUUAUCCCUGUUAACUUGGACGGUGCGCAUUGGGUAGUAGCACGAGUUGACCUUCGGAAAAACAAAGUAUGAAUUUAUGACUCAUUACUCACAUUUCGCGACGACAAAGGUACUAGUUGAAAUUCAAGCCACUUGAAGUUAUAUUCCCUCGAUGGUUGGAAUAUGUUGGCUUCUACAACAUCCGACCUGAGUUGCGGAGUGCAGACCCCUGGAAAGUUAUGGCAAUUAAGAGCGCGCCACAACAAGAGCCCGGAACUGGCGAUUACGGUGUUUUUGUAUUGAUGGUUAUGAUGUAUUUAAUGUUCGGGCUUAGAUUGGAGUUUAACGCUAGUCAUGUCGAGUACUUUAGAAAGAAGAUUGCGGUUGACAUAUUUAAUGACGAUAUUGUAUUGUAAACUGUUGUAGUAAUUUGAAUGUUGAAACUUUAAUUUUUAUUUUAAUUUGCGCACUUAAGUUUAUAUAAUUUUAAUGUUCACGUAUAAGUGUACAAUACACAAAAAACAAUAACAGUUAUAACCAACGAAACACAAAAACAAUAACAAUUUUAACCAACAAAUCAUUGAAAUAAUACAACUAACUUCGAGUCGACGCAAUGGGAUUCUUACAUCACUUACGAUUAUGGCCCAGUUCAUGACACCGCCCGCAUCUUACAGUCCGUCGGUUAACGUCCUCACCAGCCGAGGGUAUUCUGAGCUCUUUACGACGGCCAAGUGGUGGUGCCUUAACUGGUGGGUAUACUUGCAUCUCCUGAAUUUCAUCUGGAACUUUCCAAUCAGCCACAUCACCAACUAGCUCCACUGGUUGUGCAUAAGCCAUCGUCAACGAUUCUGUAGUGUAAACGUCCGAGCAAAGGUUAAUAAAAUCCACCUGGUGUGUUAGAAACGCCGCAAUUGCAUGAACACAUACAAGCUGAUCAAGCUGAAAUACUCUGCAGGAGCAAGUUUUCUUUUGCAAGUCAACCAAACCUUCCUUAAGCCCACCAUCUAUAACUUGAAAUCGAUGCGGAGACACUGGCCGAACUAUCAUUUUUUCAGCUAUAGUUCUCCUCUCAGUGACUAUUUCAUCCGCCCAUGUUGUUAGCCGAGUACUCAUUGAUUUAGCCACAAUUUUUCUAUCAUAAAACCAUUGCUGCAACGUUUUCCUAAAGUGAUCAACAAGAUGAGUAACAAGAAAUUUUCGCGGUUCCCUCAUGAAAGAGUUAACACUCUCCGCGAUGUUGGUGGUAAGUAUACUGUACCUCCUACCUUCAAACUGAGACCUUGCCCAAUUACACGUACCGACAUUAUUUUCUAGGUAGUCAGCCGCACCCGAGUGGAUCAUCCACAACCCUUCAAGUUGUCUCUUAAAUUCCUCGUGGCCAUAUGCUUUUGCUGCAUUAAUAAAGGCAGGCUCAAAUUGAUCCCAAAGAGCUUUUGACAUUCUAAAUUGUGACUUAAUGUUAUAUUUCAUGUGGUAAAAACAAACGCCGUGAGUUGCAUUGUGAAAUACUUUAAGAAUGGCUCUCCUUAUGGCAGUGCAUCGAUCAGAUAUAAUUACCAACUCAAGUCUAUCGCCAAUCACUCCGUGUAACUUCAUCAUAAACCAUUCCCAAGCAUCAUUGUUUUCUGAAUCCAUGAUCCCAAUGGCUAACGGAUACAAUUGAUUGUUACCAUCAAGACAUGUUGCCACGAACAUGCUUCCACGAUAUAGCCCCUUGAGAUGAGUACCAUCUACAGCAAUGACAGGCCGAAUGUACUGCAUAAAACCCUUGAUGGAAGAUUCGAGUGCUACAAAAUAGUACAAGAAAUUACCAUCUCCAUCCUGCUCUAGGUGAGUGACUGUACCCUCAUUCGCUGUAGUUAGUACGUAAGAGUAUUUAGGGAGCAAGUUAUAUGACUCUGCAGGGUUGCCUCGAACAAUUUCAAGACUAACUUCUCUCGCCCGAUAUGCCUGCUGGUAUGUUAACUGAACACCGUAUUCUUGUUGCAUAUCUGCUCUUAUGUCAUUCGGAGUAUAAAUUCUCUUGUCUUGAAUAUAUUUAUCUGCGAUAAUAUGACCGACAACCCAGCUCCUAACUUGAUGACGUCCAUCAACCAAUACCUCAUUAUGACAAGUGUGUACAUUAUCAAUUCUCCGCACCACCCAAGGAACAUUUUGCUCGUUCGAACAUCUAGUUGCUCGAAUACACCAUUUACAUGAUUCUGAACAACAAUGAGCCUCGAAACGUGUCGUAGUAGACCGUGCAAUCUUGAAAUCAAACUUAUCCCGAAAGGCAACUUUGCGUAGUUGUAAUAUAAACUCAUUCUUCUCAGCAAGUAGCUUACCCACACUGAUAUCAUCUGAGUCACAACUGCUAUCAAAGCUUGGAGCAACCAUGUUCGAAGGCAAAGUUGGAGCAAGACUUGUGAAGGGGUCAAUUCUCCUUCUCGAUCAAACCAUAGAAGGAAUAGGUCUAUUGUCUAUGUUAUUCACACGAGUAUUGUCUUCACACUCAUCCUCAUGCUGAAACGACGGAACAUUCAAAGGACUGACUCCUCCAUCAUCACCAUCAUUAUUGAAAUGAGUGCCCCUCAUAUUAUUAGAAGGUUCUGCACAAACAUUAUCCCCCUCUGUCUCAUCAUGAAAAUCAUCAUUGUCCCGAAAAUCAUUGUUGUGAUACGGAGAAUACCAUUGCUCCAACGACGUCGUUAUUGGAAAUACCGUUGCUCCAACAUCCUGUAACGUAACGUCGUUAUCAUCAAUGUUGUCAUAAUUGUCGUGGAUUGGAGAGUAAUAUUGCUGCAGCGAUAUUGUCCUUGGCAACACCUCUUCUUCAUUAUCGGGGCCAGACAUAUUUGCUCUAAACGAAGUUUCUGUAUCGACAUGUGGCUCAAUACCUUCGCUCGGAACUCGAGGUGAUGUGGUCACAAAUAUAGGAAUGCAUCCAAAAUUAGCUACGUCGGAUGCCAUAUGUAACACAACUCUCACAAUUUCAUCAUCAAAUAUAUCCAUAGGCAGUGCACAUACACGAUAUAAUGUGUUACUAGACCUCAAAGUUGUCUUCAUUGUGAUACUAUAUUCAUUAGGAUUAAUUUGUAACACAUCGUAUACUCUUGCCAAUAACUGAUCAAAAAGAUAAUUUUUCCCAACCAAAAAAGCUCUAUUUUUACCAUUGACAUACUCCAUACGCCCAUCCUCUAAUGUCUCCCACCAACCAUCGUAACACAAUUUAAGUACAACUGAAUCCAUUAAGCCUGAAAUUAUAAAAAAAAUAAAUUAUUUCAGCCCUAUCAAAUUAAUAGUUAAUUACAAUGAACCUGUCGCCAGAUUCACCCACGAAACCAUCCGCAGUUCAGUCAAACUCACGACCAAGUUUAGAAAAUAACGCAUACCACUAUGUGAUGCCGAUUAGUGUUGGAUCCGGAUAAAUUAUGAUCGGAUUUCACUUUUUAUCGUUGCCUUUUGCCGUUGCCGUUGCCGUUGGUUGAUGAUUCAAGAGUGGGAAGUUGCCUUUGGUUUGACGAAAGGGGAGAAAGAAAGCUGCUUUUGGUUUGUAAAGAAGGGUAAUUUGGGGAGAAAAGCGUGAGUUUGGCUAAUGUUGAUAGAAAAAAGUUGAGAGGGUUAAUUGUGAAAAUAACAAAAGUUUUAUGGUUAUUUUUGUAAAUUUCCCAUAAUUUAUACGCAUUAAUGUGGAAUCGACAAUUCUGAAUCAUGUUAAAGUCAACAAAAAGACAAAACAUGGAAAGCGGCAAUUGCUAUAUUGCGUUGCAUGUAUUUUGGGUUCAUCAAAUACAAACAACGACCACGUUAAAAGAAAGCGUUCUGCUUGGACGACAAAGGGACGACAGAAACAUGAGUCCCUUUGUCUGUUGCUUCAACUCCAUUCAUUAUCUUUUGUCUGUUAUUUUUUUUAUUUAAAAAAUAAAAAAAAUAUUAAAAUAAUGAAAAAAAACCACAAAAGUAACGAACAGAGAUUCAAAUAGCAGCACGUUUUUUACAAUCAAUUUUUCUUGUUAUCCUCUCUCUCUCUCCAUCUCUCACCUCUCAUUUAACGUGAGCCAUCUGCAUUUAACAAGGAAAAACCAGUUCCCUCUCUGCAUAAUGGAAUGUGUUUUAUAUAUGUUAGGAUUUUUUUUUAAUUUAAAUGGCUGGAAAUAAUGGAAUAAAUUAUAACAAUUUCUGAAUGUGUUUUACAUAUGUUAGGAUUUUUCUUAAUUUAAAUGGCUGGAAAUAAUGGAAUAAAUUAUAACAAUUUGUAAAUGUGUUUUAUAUAUGUUAGGAUUUUUUUUAAAUUUAAAUUGUUGAAAAUAAUGGAAUAAAUUAUAACAAUUUCCGGAUGUAUUUUAUAUAUUUAAGUUAUUAGGAUUUUAUAAUUUAAAUUGCUGGAGAUAAUGAAAUAAAUUAUAAAAAUUUGUGGAUGUGUUUUAUAUAUUUAAAUUGUUAGGAUUUUUCAGCAAUUUAACGAAGUGCUACCGUUUCCAAACGAGGAAAAUGAGUGGAGGGGCUAUGGAGAUGAAUGCGCGUAGAUCGAGGCUGAGCUGGUGGCCAAUGAGAAUCGUACUUUGCUAACCAAGCUUGUGAAAGGGAGGGAAAAGCACCAACCGCCCAGGAAUGAUGACCAAUUGCUGGGGGUUGAUUUCCUCUUCCUUCUAGAUGAACGGAAAGGGAAGAACGAAGGAGGGGAGUAAACUAAGGACUGGAAAAUCUGGCUGGGGAGGGAGGAGAUAAAAAGCUGAAAUUUGACCUGCUUUCCAUUUCUAAAUUCUUUAUUUUAUUAUUUAUUAUAGACCCACAUAAAACUAAAAGAAGAUUAAAAAAACGCGUGAAACGACAGUGGGAGCUUGCGUUUCUGUCGUCUUUUUAUUUUCUUUGAGUUCGUUUAUCAUUUUUCUAAAAGAGUUAAAAGAAAAGCAAAAGCUGACGAGAUUGGUAAAGACAUAUCAAAAGAAAGACUAAUAGAGCUUUCCCAGCAGCAUUAAUCAUGCUUAAUUGAUAAUAUAGAGGUAAUAAAUGAUUAUAUUUUUGGUGGAAAACAGAAGAGAGCACGUUACAAGAGCCGAUUGCUUUCUUUAUUUUUUGUCAAUAUUAAACCAAAAAUACAGGUCAAUGAAAAAAAUUGAAAAUAACGCACCAUCAAGUCAACCUUGGUGCAGAAAAAUAUUAACAUUUAAUGAACUUAGAGGGAUGAGUUGGGCCAAGUCUUUAAAUCAGCUCUGUCGUGGAAUAUAACAGGAAGAUUAAAAGAAAAAUCAAUCAACUACAACUAGUAUCUAAUAUAAUGUUUUCACGCAUCUUUUAUAAAUUUAUUGGGACACACUAUUUCUGCUAAUUGAAGAAAAUCAAGAAAUGCUGAUUCCGUCAUGGCUUAGUUUCAUGUUAAUGAAAGUUUAAAGCGAUCAGAUUCAUAUUCAUUAAUAUGAUUUUAUACGAAUCCCUGUGUUUGAAUAUAAUAAUGGUUUCAGAAAUGCAUACCUGUUAGUUCUCCAUUUCUUGACUCCGAGGAAAAUUUGACUUGACAGAUGAAGCAAUGUUAUAAGAGGUUUGAUUAUGGGUCAAUUUGUUGCAAGCAUUUCAACAGACGGGUGAUAUGCGUACACAGCUUCUACGCUACCAAUACCAUGCUUACCCCAUAGCUGCUUCCUGUUGUAAAACGUUGCUGACAUGUCAUCAUACUGGACAGACCUUCCGAGGUUAUUCUUCGAAGCGUUUCAUGAUGCCACGUGUACUUGAUUAUUUGACUAAUCACGGUUCACAAGUUGAGUGAGCUACUCACCAGUCACCAAACCACCUUCCUGCUGCAAAGAAUCUUAACUGAACUUUGACUUGGUCAGAAACUCAGAAUUAGUGGUGCACGUGAUGCUUACACGUGAGGACCCAAAUGACGAAUUCCAAAAGCUGAAUGAUGUAUGUGUGAAUUAAAUAUAACUAUUACGCUCUAGUACGUGUAUGUCAUAUGUACACUAAGUGGGUGUAGUGCAACGAAGGUGCUCUAUAAUUUUUCAGUGAACACAAUAUAAUCAUCAAAGUGAAAGAAAAACUUUUGAGGUUUUGGUGUAUUCAUUAGUGAAAUUUGAGCCGAAAAGAAAAAUUUUUAUUUGUAAACAUCAAAACCAAAAUCAUUUGGAUGUAGUUACCGAAAUUGAUUAGGUCAUUAAUCAUUGCAUGAAUGUUUUGAUUUUAAUACCAGUGGCAAUCACGUACAUGUUUAAUGAUUUGAUUAAAUUUGUGUUUAGUUCUAUAAAUGAUUUAACUAAAAAAUUCAAAAAUGUUUAAAUAACAAUUUAACUAAAAACUUAUUAUUAAUUAUUGUUAAUAGAUUAAUUAAUUACAAUACUUUUUAUUAUUCUUAUUAAUAGUAAUUACAAUAAACUAGUAAUUAUAAUUAUAAUUAUAAUCCAUUUAAUAAUUAUUAUAUUUUAUUUAAAUGGAGGGUAGUUUGGGAAUUUUAAAAAUAUAGGGGAUGAAUUUGAUACGUUAAGGGUUUUAAUGAAAUAAAAUAGAGUACAAGGGGCUGAACGAAAUGUUACAAUACAGAAACUUUCAUAUACUUAUUGAUAAAUUGUAAAUACUAUAACGUAAAAGGGGCUGAAAAAUAUUUUACAGUAAGAAUUCAAAAAGACAAAAGCAGCUGUAACUGUAACUUAGAGGAUGCUUAAAGUUUUUAAUGAAAAUCUUUAGUUGUUUAAUUAUCAAAAAAAGCUUUUAAAAAAAAGUUGUAAAUUAAACUUACUUUAGUAACAGGUUUAUUAAACCUAGACUCAUCUACCUUGCAACGGCUGCAAGGUACAACUAAUUUUUUUUUUUUUUUUAUUUUCAUUCCUUUACCUUUGGAUUUAAUGAAAAGUUAAUUUCAAUGGUAGAGAUUUGUCCAUUUGAAUACUAACAUUAUACUCUUGAUAAGUAUUAAAAACACAAAAAAAUGAAAGAGUUAAAAUUUUUAGCACAUAAGUCUUUAUUGUUUCCAAUUUGUAUUGUUUAAUUAGUAGUAAGUCUUAAAAAAAUAUUUUAAUUUUAAUAUUAUAUAUUUGAUUUAAAGAAUGAAUUUUUAAUGUUAUUUAUUUUAUUAAAAAUAAAUAUUAUUUAAUAUUAUUUAUUUUCAUUUUAUUUAAUUUUAUUUAGUGUAUGCUUAUUAUUAUAUUUAUUCCUCAAAAAACUAAAUAAUAUUAAAUAAAAUAAAAUAAUCAAUAGUGAAUCAUAAAAAAUAGAUAUAAUUUUUAAUUAAUAUUAUUUAUUUUAUUUUAUUUAACGUUUUAUAGUCAUAAACUUAUCAUUAUAUUUAUUCUUUCAUAAAACCAAAUAAUGUUAAAUAAAAUAAAAUAAUAGUAAUGUGUCUUAAAAAUUAAUAUUAUUUUUAAUAUUAUUAACUUUAUGUUAUUUAAUAUUAUUUAUCCAUAGGCUUAUAAUUGUAUUUAUUCUUUUAAAAAACUAAAUAAUAUUAAAUAAAAAAUAAUCAAUCGUGAACCUUAAAAAAUAAAUAUUAUUUUUAAUAUUAUUAACUUUAUUUAAAAAAUUAAUAUUAUUUAAUUUAAUUUAAUAUUAUUUAUUCAUAGGCUUAUUAUUAUAUUUAUUUUUUAAAAAGUUAAAUAAUAUUAAAUAAAAUAAAAAAACAAUAUUGAGUCCUAGAAAAUAAAUAUUAUUUAGUUAUAGACUUAUUAUUAUAUUUAUUCUUUUUAAAAAGAUAAAUAAUAUUAAAUAAAAUAAAAUUACAUUUUAAAAAGUCACCAGCCAAAGUAUAUAUAAACUUAUAAAUAAAUAUAAAAAAAUAAUAUUAAAUAAAAUAAAAUUACAUUUUCAAAGGUCACCAGCUAAAGUAUAUAAACUUAUAAAAAAAGGGUAAAUAAGAAGGAUAAUAAGAGGUUAAAUAAAAUUUAACAUACAUAACAUAAGACAAAAAAUAGUGGCACCUUGCAACUGUUGCAAGGUAGCUGGAUCCUAUUAAACCUAUAUGUUAUAAAACAAAUGACAUAGGAUUAUGAUGCAGUGAAAUAGGUGUAUUUUAGAAAAUCUAAUUCUUUUAAAGAGCUCUACAACCUAUCCUCCUAAAAGUCCAAAAUUUAAACUUCUCCUAAUAAAGACAAAAUAAUAUUUUUAAUAAACUCUAUUCAAUUUAUAGCCAAACGAUGCCAAAAAAUAUUCAAAAGAAAAAAGUUACUCUCUUGAUCCAUUAGUAGAGAAAUCAUACAAAAUGGACACUUAAUGGUCAGUUUUUUUUUCCCCCUUUCUUUUUGUAGUUUUACUUUUCCUAUAAACAUUAUUGUUUAGGAAAUAAUAAUAACACUACAUACUCUCCACUAACACAUUAAUUAAUUAAGAGUAUUUCCUCACUAGCACGCAUUUAAUUAUCAAAUGAUUAUCAAAAGUAUGGCUAAACUUUGGUAAUUAAGAAAACAAGUGAUAUUGGUGGCAAACUGGCAAUGACAAGAAAAUUCUAAUACCACAAAAAAAAAUUAUCAGUUACGUAACAACUGAAUAAUUAAUUAUAAAAGUGUUGUACGUACCUUAUCUGUCAAGUCAUUGGCCGUACUUUUAAGUUCAACACCAAUUUAGGACAUCUCACUAUUUGUAAUUCUUUUAAAAAUGGAAAUUCAAAGUGCAGAUCUCCUGUACAGCAGAAGCUUGUGAGAUUUCCAAGAUCUGUUAUCUUUAGAUAUAGUAGCUGAGGGAACAUUACAAUACUAUUAAUCUUGAAUAGGCCACCGCUUAUGAAAUUAGCCUCUGUUUGUAAAAUUAUAAAUUCUUUAAGUUCCCUACCUUCUAAAUGAUUGUAACUCAACUCUACAGUUGAAUAGGCCACCGCUUGUGUCCCAGAGAAGCUUCUCAAAAAAGGCCUUUGUAAUUGUCGUAAAGCAUUCCUCCAUUCAUAGAGACUCUUAUUUUUCAACGCCUUUGCUACGGGUACAAUGGCAAUGGGCAAACCAGCACAUUCCUUGACUAUAUCUGUCGCUACAGAUUUUAGUUCACUAUUUUCUAUGCAAUCACCUGCCAUCUUCUUAAAAAGACUCCAAGCUUUCUUUCUUAUUCAAAAUAUCGACAAAAGAAUUAUGUUGACAAUCCAUCUUACAAGACAACACAUCUAGACUUCUUGCUGUCAGCAGAACUUUACAUCUGCUGUUAUCAUCUGCUAAUGGAAUUCCAACAGCCUCCAAGUCAAGACUCCCCCAAAUAUCAUCCAAGAUUAUAAGGAUCUUCUUCUCUACUUUCAAUCUUUCAUAUAGCCUCCCUGCUCUAACAGUUUCAAUCUCUUCAACUAAUCCCAAACCUAUAUUCUCUGCAAUUUAUUCUUGUAUCUUCUUUAUUUGUGGUGUUUGGGAUACUUGCGCAGAAAUGACCUUCUCAAAGAGAUUAUUUCCCUUGGCUUGCCCAGCGACUUCCUUCACCAACAUUGUCUUUCCAAUGCCACCCAUCCCGUAUACCCCAAUCAUGUUGAAGUUAUGAUUGCUUAAUGAGCCUAGUAUUUCCUUCAAAGUGGAUUUUCUUGAUUCAAAGUGAAUGAAACCUUCGGUAGACUUAAGCCAUAUCUCCUCUGGAAUUGUACGGAAAGAAACGCUGUCAAAUUUCCUUUUUUCAUGGAGUCCAACAAUGGCAUUCACCUCCCUUUCUGCUUUCUUGCUAAGCUGGUAGUGGGUCUUCAAAUUGGGACACAACCCAUUAAAACACCGGUUGUUUGAUUUUUCUUCAACUUCUGUAAGCUUCCUAACUUCACUGAUGACCUUGUCCACACUAAUCAGCCACUCCUCAACGUGCUGUUGAAUUCCGUCCCCUUUGAUUUUGGAAUCAUCUACUUUAUACUGUACACUGUCUCUAGCAUUCUUUAGUUUAUCAACAUCAUUCUUUAGUUUAUAAACCAGAGGUAAUAAAUGAUUAUAUUUUUAGUGGAAAACAGAGUACGUUACAUGAGCUGAUUGCUUUUGUCAAUAUUCAGCCAAAAAUACAAGUUAAUCAGAAUAACCUACCAUCAAGUCAACCUUGGGGCAGAAAAACUAGUAACAUUAAAUGAACAUAGAGGGAUGAGUUGGGCCAAGUCUUUAAAUCAGCUAUGUCAUGGAAAAUAGCAAGAAGAUUAAAAAAAAAAAAAAAGAAUCAAUCAACUAGUAUAUACGGGAUAUCUCGGUGCAAAACAGAGUGCUAAGAGAUAAAAAUUAACCUGGCAUCUUUGCCAGGUGUUUAUAAUUGCUAAGCUUGCUACAUUCCAUUGCCAACUUUGGCCGUCUGGUAGUUGCUUAUUGAAGAAAACAAAGGAAUGCUGAUUCGAUCAUGCAUAGUUUAAUGUUAAUUAAACUUAAAAGCGAUCAGAUUCAUAUUCAUUAAUAUGCUUUUAACGACUUAGUUAAAUUUAUAGCAACUAAUAAGUAUCCAACUUUGCAACCGUAUUUAUUUCUCAUGAUUUGAUUAAACUGAGCACUCCGAAAACAUCAGUUCCUUCCAUUGUUGUAAGCUGAGUGAUACAUGUAUGAUUUGAUUAAACCGUAUUUAUUUAUAUAUUGAAUGCUACUUCAAUGAAUUUUACUGCCGCAAUAAUACUAAAUGAUUUUUCAUUACAAAAAAAUUCAAUAAUUAGAAUGAUUAUAAGUUAAUUUAAUGCUGAAUUUCAUCAUUAACUGCUGAAAUACUCCAGAAAUCCAAAUACAUUUAACUAAACAAAAAUUUAAUCAAAUCAUUAAACACACAAUCUGAAAGCGGAUUCAAAAUAACUUUAAUAAAAAAGCCAAAAGCAGAACAAUCAACAAAGAAACAGAAGAACCUCUCACCAAUGCCAUCUGACCCUUGAUAGAAAGAAAGAGGUCAAGCUCCAUGUAAUAUAACGCCUCACAAAUUACACAAAAAAAUGGCCGCAUUCCAUAUGAUGCAUAGAACGUGGCCUGAAUCCUCUUCGUAAGUUUGGAAUUUCUGGAGAAAAAUACACAAUGAAGGUGAAAUCAGGAAAAUAAGGAUAGUGAUAUUUCGUGCAAUUUUCAUGUAAAUUGCAGGAAUUAGCUUCUAUUUGGUAAGCAGCACAGGAUGCCUAACUGUUAUUAUUACUAUUACUAUUAUUUACACGGAUUGGGUUGGGUGAGACAGGUUGACUAUAAUUAACCCAACCCAACCCAAUUAUUAAUUGGAUUAGAAAAAUUUUACCUAAUUAAGUUCAUAAUAAUUCACUCAAUCCAUAAAAAUUUGAUUAGGUUGGACUGGUUCUUCAGGUUGGAUUGAGUUCAUCGGGUUGGAUUGAGUUUGCCUACCUCUAACUCUUGACCCACAUUAUUUAUUUUUAUUAUUUAGUAAUUUCAUUCAACCAAUAAAUUUAAAUUUUAUCAAUUUGUAUAAAAUAAGUUUAUACAAGAGCUUUUAACUCUAUCAUCACUCAUCAAACAAUGUUAGAUGAAACAAUAAAUAAAAUAUACAAAGGUAUCAUUAAAUCCAAAAGCAUCCAAUGUGUCAAAAAAUAUCCUAUCAUUUGAGAUAAAAUAUUAAAAUAUUAUUUUCAAAAUCAAUAACGAUAUAAUCACAAACAUUUUAAUAACAACUUGUGUAAACAAACUAAUAUGGCAUAAAGACAUUAGCUAGAAGGCGAUAACUAUUAUUUUUGUAAAUUAUGUGGGUCUAUAAUAGUUUUAUACAACCAAUCUUCUCAUGCAACAUCUGUAUGAUAUAUAUAUAUAUAUUUUUUAUAAGGUGGUUGUGGCUCUAUAUAUCCAAGUCGUUGUUCAACUUCAAGAGAUUCAAAUUUUGUGAAAGAAGCCACGAAGAAAUUUUACGCCAUUCAACAGUGUUAUUGCUUAUUAUUUAUCUUUGUGUGCUUGGAUUGUAAAUUUGACAGGAAAAUGGUAGAGACCUUGGAGGAAUUGCAGAAUUUGUUUGAAUAGAUGUUUCAAGGAGACACCAAUGCUUUCGGGCCUAAACUUAUUGUGAUUAUUUCAUCUGUACUUAGAUUUGAACUAAUCGGUUCUAGAUCAGAUGGGUCAUUGUAUCAUCUAGGAAAGAGGGAAAGUAAACUAAGAAGGUUUUUGUGAUGGUAUGUUAGCUUAUAUAAAUUUCCUUUCUUUAAUAAAAUCUCACUUUGUUUUUAGGGGAAAUUAACAAGAUCGGAUGGUGGAUUGUGCUGCUGUGUUAGAUGACAUUUUAAACAAUGUACUUCUGGCUAUGAAAUAACUAGCUAUAAAUGAUGUUUUGAAAGUCACCUAGUAGUGUGUGUUGAAAUGGUUUAAUCUUCAAGGUUUUUUUUUUUUAAUUGCAAAUAUUGAUGCUAGAGAAGAGAACUCGAACCAUUUUUGAUGAUUUAGAAUGUUGUAACCAUAAGAAGCUUCCUUGUCAUAAACUGGUGGCUCAGAUUAUUGAAAUGUUCAAGAGAAAGCUAAUCUUAUUGCCCAUUGUAUAUUAUUAGACUCCCUUUUGUUGCAAUCUUGUGGUUGAGCAGGUCUCAAGAUUCUGACCUUUUUCACCCUGCUUUCUGACUGAAGAAUUUGCCUAUCAUUGUCAAGUGUUUGGCAAUUGGCCACCAUCUGCUGUAUUCAUUAUGAAGGCAUUGUAAAUUUGAUCUCUUAAGAAGGGGAGAAACUGAUCAAGCUGAUUGGUUAUACUCAUUGUAUGCCACAAGUGCUUUAUCAAACCACAACAGGCAACACCCGUGCGAAGGGCGCAAGCCAGAAUUGAUAGCUGCACCAGUAUCACCAAGAUACUCCUUUUCCGGUCCAUCUAUAUCUUACCGAUGGCAUUUUUACUAUUCAUCCUCUGUACUGUUUGUUUCUUUAGCAAAUUUCUUUCUGUAUUAUGAGUCUUAAUAAAAGUUUAAUUGUAGACAGCUUUUUUGCCUUGAAAGUCUAUUUUAAACCUUUCAAACCAAUUAGCUCCAUUGGGAAACUUAUGACUUUAUAGAAAUAUUUGUUGCAUUUUGUCACUGAUGGUCAGUCCAUAAAAUUAGUUGACUGAUAGUGUCAAGCAGUUAGCAGUACAACUUUCUACCAGUGAUAUAAUUCUUUUCAUUCUGUAUUUUGUUCGACAAUUAAUUCGAUUCCAUUAUGUCAUUAUAUGUGCUUGAUUGAGUUGCAUGUUCAUGCACAAUAAUUUCCCAUCGCGGCGUUCCUAAGCUACUUUAUAAGACUUGGAUUUGUCUUUAACUAGGAUAUGGCUUUUUUUGAGUUGAAAAGCCUACUGUGAAAGUUAUCUGCUCAAAGCAAAAAAAAAAUUGUUUCCGUGGGAGGGAAAUUAAAUUUUGGCGAAGUUUGCUUUGGGGAUUUUGAAGAUAACCUGUAAAUUUGUUACACAUAUUGAGUGAUUCAAGGUUUUCAAUACAUUUCUUCCAAGGAAUAAGUUUUGUUUGGCUUCUCAAACUGUGCUUCUAAUCCAAUAUCUUAACUACGGCCGCCAAAAAGCUAUUCACUGUUAUAAUGGAUUGUUAUUGGAAAUAAUCAAAGAAAGCCUAUGAAGAAUUAGAAUAAAAGCUAUAUUUUGUCUUUGUGAAGGGAAUAUCUGACAGCCAAUCCACCGAUAUUUGUUUCUAUUAAAACCUAUACUUAUUAUAGCCUCAAUCAUUUCGAGACAUACCGGAGAAAUCUAAUUUAAAAAGUUGGUAAAUUUUAAUUCAUUCUCCCGAUAGAACAACAAUCUUGAUUUUAUCACCUAAAAGAGUGAAAAUAUCAAUUUAGCCUUCAUUUUCAUUCAAUAAGGUGAGAGUAAAUUGUGGAUGCGUUGAUGGAUUUCUUUUUUUUGGGGGGGGGGGGGGGGGGGAAUAAAAAAGAGAUGCAUGUUCUUUGCAUGGUUGUUUAUGGAGGCAAAGACUUAGCACUGAAUGAUAAGAUCAUUUACCUUCUUAGGGCCAAAGUCGUGAGUUUGAGCCUUAUCCUCCUGGAAGUAAAUCGAAGACUUAUCAUUUUAAGUGAGGGGCAAACUGAAGUUUAUUCUAAAAUGUUAUAUGAAACAACUUUAAGCCUUUUACAUCUAUUAAUUGUCUGCUACUAUUUUUUUUUUAUUCUAAAGUCUUUAUUACUCUUCUCAUAUUAGUAGUUAGCAGAGAUCCUAAAUUUUCUUUUAACAUUUUAUUCUAACAUUCUUUCCCCCGAAAAGGACAAUGGCAAGAUAAUUUGUCCUACCUUGACUGACUUAAUUUGGAUAGCUUGUGAUCAACUCUCUCUCGUUAUUCAUAAAGACGGCUACUUUGAUUUGCACUAUCCUUUCUGUGUCAUUGUGCUCACGUUGCAAGGGAUUCAUCACGCCCGCAGUCGUCAAAUUAAAGUUACAUUACAUUUACAUAAGUUAAAGACUUGUUUGAAUAUUCUCCAUCAUCUUUAUUGACCAUUUUUUAUCUUUUUAUUUUUCCUUGUGUCAAAAGAAUCCUUCACUGAUUGGAAUAUCCAUGAUGACUGGUUGCAAUUGGAAGAGCCCCUGAAAUUCAUCUUUCAUUCGAUCUUAAAUACGUUCUCCGAACAAUUAGAAUACAUUAAGAUUUUAUGAACUUGCUUAGUAGAUCAUUCAACUGCUUAAUUGGUGCUGUUAAUUAAUUGACUAUCUUCCUGGAAACACAUUAAAGACUCUCACGGGGAUUCAUUAAACCUUUUCGCUGGGUCAAUUCUACAAGCAUCAGACGUAAAAGCUUCAUGAUAAGAGCACAAGCCUAUUGUCUUCAGAAGCUCCUUCAAAAAGCGAAGCUAGCUAUUCUCUUUAUUGUCAUUUUCAUCCACUUUAAUUAACCCUCUCUUUUUCAUGUUGUACAACUUUGACUUGACUCUCAAAUGGAGAACAACGAUAUUUAGACAGAAAAAUUUAAUAAAAUAUUUAAAAAUAAAAUAAAAUUAGUGUCGGUUUAUCUUGUACUAGUUUUGCCUUAUUGAUGUCAAUGAUUUUCUAAGAGAAAAAUAAAACUUACAUUAAUUUUACCUUUGUUUCAUGAUGAGGUAAAACAUGAUUUUUUUAUUUUAACUUUUAAAAGAUUUCUUCAAAUGAUUUUCAAGUUGAUUUAUUUGGUUGGACUGUAAAAUGGGUUUGGGCUUAGCCCACCCCUAAUGUUUUUUUUCCAAAUUACCAUAAAAAAGAUUAGGUGUGUUGCAUUGCAAGUGUGGUAUGGAUAAAAGGAUAUAACUAUUUCUUCGUUGGAAAUUUGAAUAAAGAGAUAGAGAAAUUGGUAAACGAGUAGGAAAUAAUUUACGGGAAGGAUAAGUGGAUAAGAUUAGUGCUGGAGCCGUCAUGGAUUCAUUGCUAUGUAGAAUUAAAAAUUCAAGCUUAAACAGUUUUGGUGAAAUUUCUAUAUUGAAAUUCUUGUUAAUUAAUCAUUCACACUUUAAUGAAAGUAUUAAUAGCAGCCGUGUAACGCCCUAUUAAUUAAUUUAUCACACGUUAUAUAUAUAGAGUAGCGUAACGGGAUGGUUUUUUUUUUAAUAUAUAUGUUGAUCUUUUACUCAAUUAAUUAAUUAACAUUUAUAAAAUAGCACUAAGUAUUCAUGAGCUUAAACAUGAAUCAAUAUUUGCUAGUGCAUUGGUGGUUAGCACAAAUAACUUCGAUGAUAGAGAGUGACUAGGAAGCAUUAAGGGGAUGGAUCCUUUAAUGACCUGAUUUUUAAGCAAAUUUCACUUAUAUAUUUAGUGGUUAAUCAAUUAAGAAAUAAAAAUAGUUAAAUUCUAAUCAUACAUUAAUAUUAAAAGGUAAGUGAUAUAAGAUCUUUAAACGUUCAGAAGAGAUCAAGUCAAAAGAGAAUUUUAAUUUGAGAAUCAGAAGAGAUCAAAUCAAAAGAGGAUUUUAAUUUGAGAAUAACUCUUGUAAAGCUUAAGUUUUAUGUGCUCAUGAAAGUACUUGCUAUUAAAGGUAUCUCUUGAAUAUUUAAUGCUUUAACAGAUUAUAUUCUUUAUAGACAGUUUGUAAAUUACUCUCGUCACUACCACCAUGACUUGUAUUGUUGUUGUGACCAGUUUAAUGGAAUGCAAUUUCAAUUUACUUGUUAGAAAAAAAAAAUCAAUUAUAAAUACUAAUUUACCUUAUUGUGCUCUAGAGCAAAAUACAAAGUGGAUCUUUGAUGAUUAUUAAUUUAAUUUACAAUGAUAGAUAUAUCUUAAGUAUACAUAUUAAGAUAUAUAUAUACACACACAUACACGUGCUUGCAUGUGUGUGUGUGCGUGUGCGUGUGCGGGUGUGCCAAGAGACGAACAAAUAUAUGAUAAAUAGAAAUUUCCUUACCUAAAGACUUCAAAUUAAUGGUGAAACAUCUUUGCAAAUUAAACUAAGAAAAAUUGAAAAAGUAUUUUUAUCAUUUUAUGCAUGGAAUUCCACGUCCAUGCAUGCAUCUACCCAACAAAUGCACUUGUAAUUUAGUAUGCAUAUGGUACAUCACAAAAUAUUGUCUUGGAAAAGUCUCAAUGGAUGACUCGUGAUCAUGUCAUUGUACGUACACGCACAACGAAUAAUCCUUGCGACGACUUGCAUAAAACAAAAAAGGGAAUGUCUCUUUGUCCCUGUAGUUUAUGUACCCAUGGAGGAGUCAAUAUAUUUUUAGAAAUUUACUCAAAAAAAUCUACUUAAUUAUUUUCUAUUUUCCAUCCGCUAUAUAUUAAAUUAGUUUCAAUUUUAAAUUUUAUCAUAUAAAAAUUCUGUUUUAGCUUAAAAAAUUUAUGUCCAACAACUAAGAAAGUAAGUAAAGAGAUGUUCUGGAUAAUCUUUUAAAAUAUAAUAUUGACCAAACUAGAUAAUUGACUCAAACUAUGGGGAUUAAAAUAGUAUUUACCUAUUUAACAAAUUUAAAAUUGUUUUCCAAAAAAAAAAAAGUAAAUUAACUUCUAUCUUUAUUAAUAAAAUUAUGACAUAACUAAGUAAUAUUCAUAUUGUGGUGAAAACAACUUCUUGGUUUAGCGAUGGUCUUGCAUGUGGAGGGUUGAAAUCUUUUAUGUUAAUAAUAGUAAUUAAAAGGGAGUGUGUAUGCCACACGCCGGAGACCAAAAAGUGAUUUGUCAAAUCCUCGAACUCAAUGACGAGCCAAAACUGGAUUGGUUAUCCACUCUUGUACGGCUUUGAAUGACUUUUUCUAUUUGCUACAUACUCCGCAUCAAUCGUUGUAACGACGUAAUUACGAAAACAACUAGAAGCUGGCCAAGACGACGGGCAAGCUGAGAACAUAUUCGUUGGCAUUUUCCCUUCAUUUACACCAAAUAAUCUAAAGUUCUGAACUGAAUGAAAGAGGAAUAAGCCAACUUGAAUUACAUUUUUUCCAGCAUUUUUUGGUCGAGCGAACCAUUUCACUUGGAAUCAUAAUGAGUCGUUGCAAGGAAAUGUGUUAUUUUGAUUAUUACUUUGUUUAUUAUUCUUGUUUGCGGCAUUUUAAUUUGAGAGAGAUAUAAGUCUCAAAGGAAUGUCGGAUUCUGUGCUCACAUGAUGAGCUAUAUAAUAUAUGUUGGUUUUACUUAAGGUUGUUGUAAUUAGUAGUUUUUUUUAAAAAAAAAAAUACUAGCACAACUCUAAUUUAUAAUGGAUAAAAAUUCCUAAUUAAUUUGAAUUCAUCUCUCAUUUGUCAUUUAAAAAAGAAAAAAAAAAGAUUCAAUAAUGUUCUUAUUAAUAAACAUAGUAUUUGACACUUUUGUCUACUCGGAAACAAAGACUAACGACAAUAUGCUUUAAACGUUUUGAUGGUUCUGCUCUACCAACAUCAACGUAAAAUCACAGAUCGAGCACAUAAGUCAUGACCAUCAUUUUCAAAAUUUGCAAAUAUAGUCCAAUUUCUCUAUAAUCAUAAUAUUGGGGCAAAUUAAUUUUAUUAAUAUGAGAAUAUUAUAAUUAACUUAGUAAAGAUAUAGUUACAGAAAUUAUCAUUUUCACUUAGUUAUCCUUCGUGCAAUUAAAUUAGAGGUAAAAUAUUUACUAUAUUAAUAAUUAAUUACUGGAUUAUGUCAGAAAUUGAUAUUAAAGGUAGGCUUAAUUAAAAAAAAAUAGUCUAUACUUUUUUGCAAUAGACAAAUAAUAUUACUAUGCGGGGACAAAUUCUUUUUAGACAAGACUUAAAAAAAUUAUAACUUAUUAUAAUAUAUAGUAUAUCCUUAUUUAUAACUACUUAAAUUGAGAUUAAAUCUUUUUUAUAAUUAAAUAAAAAUUAUUUUUAUAUAAAGUAUGACUACAUAGGAGAAAUAUUUUCUUUCUAUAUAAAGGAUAUAUGACUAUAUAGGAGAAAUAAUUUAUUGUAUAUAGCUAUUUCUUUCUCUGUUAUUUCUAUCCACUUCAUGAGCACUGUCUUAGUCUUUUCCCUUUUUUGUAACAAUCUUGGUUUAACUAUGAACUAAAUGUUCUUCUUUUCAAUCAUUAAUUAAUAUUAGGUAGGUAGGUCUACCAACACGGUUGCACCUAAUUACCCACUAUAAAAUUUUAUUAUCAAUCUCCCAUGGAAAAGUGUGCAUGCCUAUAUAUAAUCGGACUUUAUUAUCAGUGUUAUGGAUAAAUGAAUUAUUAAUUUUAAAUUAAUAAUUAUUUUAAUCAAUUUGGCAAUAUAUAUCUUAUCCUUGAUUAAUUUAUAUGAAUGAAUAUCAAGUGUAACGUAAAAUAUUAUUUGUGUUGCACAUGACAUGCGGACAAAAGAAUACAAAGAUUCCUUAAACAAGAUUCAAAGUAAAAUAGAAAGUUGAAUUUAACAAGAUUCAUGUACAGGAAGAAAAAGAAUUAAUAAAGUGAUGAAAAAUUGGUAAUCGUGGCAAGUAAUCUUAUUCAUGUACGCGGCGGCACGACCCAAGACUUGGAAAUUAAAUAGUGAAACUUCUUUGCAAACGAUAGAAACUACAAUUCAUGGAGAGUCUUGACGAGUAAUUUAUCAUUUUAUGCAUGGAAUUCCACGUGCAUGCAUGCUUGUUCUCCACGCUUGGAAAUUUUGCAAAUGGCUUCUCCCUUUAAUCUUUGAAAGUGUCCUCUAACAAGUGUCUCAAUUAUUGGAUAACAUUUGCAGUCCUUGUAAUUCAUUAAUAACACGUCCCUCAACAAUCCAUAUUGCAAUAAAGAUUUUUACGCAAAAAUUCUAUCAUCCAUCAAACUACCAAAUUGGCCAACAAAUAGAUGAUACUUAUGUUUUGAAAAACUAUCAUGUAAUUGAUGAUUAUAUCAAAUUUAACUAUAUGUAUUAUAUAUAUAUAUAUAUAUAUAUAUAUAUAUAUAUAUAUAUAUAUAGUUUAGAGACUUUGUGUAUAAAGACUUGUGUUUUAUUUUAUUUUGUUUGUGUGGUGAAUUUUUACUGGUAGUAAGUCCCGUUUUAGGAUAAGGAUUUCCGCUGAGGGCAAUAAAACCAUACCUGUAGCCAUACUGACAAGACUAGGUAGACCAUAGGUUUUUAUCCAUGGAUUCUCUACUCUGUAGAGUAUCGUCCUUUUCUAGCUCUUCUUCCGGGAAGACUAGCAAAAAAAAAAAAAAAAAAACUCUCUUUCUGGAUCCCAGAAAGAGAGUUUUUUAACUGUAGCGAGCCAAUUAAAACUUGCGCUUGGAGUCACUAAAUUUAAAUUCUGCUUAAAACACAUCCGUCCUUCGAUCCUAUUUCCUUCUGGUAUCAGAGCCAAGGGGAGGAUAGUGUCAUAUAGUUUAGAGACUUUGUGUAUAAAGACUUGUGUUUUAUUUUAUUUUGUUUGUGUGGUGAAUUUUUACUGGUAGUAAGUCCCGUUUUAGGAUAAGGAUUUCCGCUGAGGGCAGUAAAACCAUACCUGUAGCCAUACUGACAAGACUAGGUAGACCAUAGGUUUUUAUCCAUGGAUUCUCUACUCUGUAGAGCAUCGUCCUUUUCUAGCUCUUCUUCCGGGAAGACUAGCGAUUCAAAGAACAUUGUGAAUUCUGAAGAAUUUGUAAUUGAAGAUUUCAAUAAAGCAAUUGAUAAUUGGGAACUUCCAAAGAUUUCUAAAGAAAUGAUUUAUAAAACAAAAAAGUUUGAUUUCUUAAAGAAUGAUUAUGUUAUAAAGACUGAAGAACGUGACAUCACUCUUUCAAAGCCUUUUGAAACAAUCCACUUGUUUUCAGAACAAUCUUUAAAGAAAUUAAAAGAUAAAAAUUUUAAUUAUGUUCAUAUCGACUUGAUCCAAGUCGGCAUAAAGCCUCUUACUAAAGGACUUAAUACCUCCAUUCUUGCUGUCCUAAGAGGUGGGCGAUUCAUCUCUUUUGAUGAUUCUUUGCUAAGUAGCAUAGAAUCGAGUCUUUGUAAAAGACCUAUUUCUUUCAAUUGUUAUCCAAACAUGACAAUUUCCCUUAAAUACAAAAACAUUUUGAAAAGCAUGAUUUUACAAAUAAAAACACAUAAUUACCAUAUGAUUGAGGGAUCUGUCCCAGUUGCAUUAAUUUUUAAAAUUUAUUACAAAACCAUGAUUUCUGCAUUUAGCACACAACACAAAUUCCAGUUAAAAAGAGAUGAGACUCUUCUCUUACAGACUGAUCUGUCCAAAGCCAACACUGUUAUUCCAAAACCGAUCCAAUGGAAAGAUGUCAAUCUUCCAGAUGAAUGGGUCCUUGAAGGAGCCAUUGCCCCAGUGAUUCCAAAACAACUUGAGCCAAAUACAGAGUUACAAAAUGUGACUCAGUAUUCUUAUGGUAAAGUCAAAUUGUCCCUCAGGAGAUCUACUUCGUCUAGAUUUUCUGAUAAAGAUUCUGUCUCAAGUAUUCCUUCACUGGAAAGGAAAUUCUCCAAAGUUCCUUCUGUAAUCAAUCUUCCUUUCCAGAAUCAACCUAGGUUUUCCACUUCGGAUAUACCACUAGUGUUCCAUAUCCGAUCUACACUAGUAGUCAGCAUGAGAAAAGACAGGAAGAGAAAGAACCUUCUCCUCCUACUUCCCCUACGUUUUCUGCAGUCACAGAAAAUAUAACCAAUGUCAUUGAAAAAAUUUUUGAAUUUGAUAAAACUCUUCUUCAUAAUGAUUUUUAUUCUGAUUCGAAUAAAGAAAAAAGACUUUGGUUUUUUAAACAUUUUUUAAAUCAAAGAAAAGAAAUCCAACAAGUUUAUUAUGAAUUUGUUAAUCUGCAUAAAGCUCAUAUAUUAUUUUUUGAUUGGUUUCAAUUAUAUGCUUCAGAAAACAAUAUUUCUUAUCCCUUCAAAGAAUCAAACCCCAUUACUGUUAGAAAGAAAACCACUGAAUGGACUCUUUCUGGUAGUGGUAGAACCAUAGAAUCAGAACAUCCACCUCUUAGGAGCUUGACCAUUGGUCAUGGUGAACCCCCUGUAGAGAUUAAAGCCUCACCCUAUAAAAUCCAUAAAAAUCCAGAAACAGAUUUAGAUAGCAUUAUCCAACAGAACAAUUUCUGUAAUGAUAAUCUAAAUACAAUAGGAAAACAGUUGACUAGGAUAGAAAACCAAUUCCAACAGCCAACUAUAGCUGUUUCUCCUAUACCAAAGCCAGUUACCUCAAAAUCAGAUUCUGACAAAAAGCUUAAAGAACCUAUUUUCAAACCUUUUUAAGUUUCGAAAACUAGUCAAAGGCUUGCCCAAGAGUCAAAAUCAGAUUUUGCCAAAGCCAUUAGGGAACAACUAGACCGAAUAGAAGCUGCUUCUUCUUCUUCUAGUAAGGUCCAAAUAGCCCCUGAUAGUGCCCAAUCUAGCAAGAUUGGUGUACUAGAACAGGACAGUAUAUCCAUAGCCUCUUCUGAUGUAGAAGCCUUCACAGAAGAACCUAUUUCUAAAACCAAUAAAAUCCAUUGGGAAUUAGCCUUACCUACUGUCAAGUCUCCACCUAAUUUGGCCAUAGAUAACAGACCUAGUGCAUUAAACCAAUCCUGAUUUAAUGCAUCAUCUGUCUAUGAGUGGAACAUUGAUGGUAUGUCUGAGUACAACAUCCUAGGGUUAUUGCAACAGAUGACCAUGGCAGCCAAUGCCUAUAAAACCCAAUCGGGAACUUCUGAUAAAGCAAUUGCAGAAAUCCUUAUUGCGGGUUUUACAGGUCAGCUUAAAGGUUGGUGGGAUCACAUUCUCACCAAACAGCAACAAUUAGAUAUACUAGAUUCUAUUCAAACUGACGAGAAUGGAGCCCCCAUUCUUGAUGAAUUCAAUAGUCCGAUUCAGGAUGCAGUUGCCACCCUGAUUGUGACUAUAUCCCUCCAUUUCAUAGGUGACCCCUCACACCUUAGAGACAAAAACGCUGAGUUACUACACAAUCUUCGGUGUAGAAAACUUAGUGAAUUCCAGAGCUAUAAAACCACAUUCUUCACCAGACUUUUCCUUAGGGAUGAUGCAAAUCAUAUAACUUGGAAGGAGAAUUCUUUGCAGGUUUACCUACCCUAUUAGGAGAAAAGGUUAGGAAUUCUAUUAAAGUCUUGUAUGAUAACCGUAUUCCUUAUGACGAACUCACUUAUGGUGAACUAGUCAGUUUUGUUAAUAAGGAAGGUUUAAAGAUUUGUCAAGAUUUGAAAUUACAGAAACGGUUAAAAUGGGAGCUUAAGAAAUCUAAGCAAGAAUUAAGCAGUUUCUGUAAACAAUUCAAUUAUGACCCCUUUAAAACUUCUACUUCCAAAGAUUGUAAUGGUGAGUGUUCUACAAAACCUUACAAGAAACAUUACAAAUCAAGAUCCCAUAGAAAACCCUUUCAAGAUUUUAGAAAACAUUCUUAUAAGAAACCUUCGAGGCCUUAUAAGAAGCCCAAAUUCUCUAAAAAGAAAGAGUUUAGAGCUAAACCAAAAACCCCUUUCAACUAUAAAUAAGCCACAUGUUUCAAAUGUGGACAGAAAGGCCAUACUGCAAAAUUCUGUAGAAUGAGAGGAAGCUCCAUGAGCUUGGUCUUGAUGAUGAUAUAUUUUCUAAGAUCGCCCAUUUACUUGUAGAAUCUUCCGAUUCUGAAUCCUCUAUGACAGGGGAUAGUGAGCCUCUACAAAUUGAUGAGUUAAUUGACUCAGGUACAUCUGUAUCCAGUGAUAGUGAUUCUGAUACGGAAUCCUAUUUAAAGAAAAUCAACGUUUUGACUAAAGAACAAGAAACCUUUCUUGAACUUGUAAAACAUAUUUCUGAUCCUACUCUCCAAAAAGAGUAUCUUGAUAAACUCUUAAAAACACUCGACUUGAGUGAUAAAGCAGGAACUUCUGAAGCCCCAUUGAUCAAAAGGAAUACAUAUGACCUUACUGAAAUUUUGGAUAAAAAGAAAACAAUGAGAACAAUGACUCCUAAUAUCCAAGAUCUUCAGAAAGAGAUAAAAAAUAUCAAACUUGAAAUCAAGGAGUUAAAAGAAAAGCAAAAGAGUGAUUCUGAUACUAUCCAAUUCCUUUUGCAAAAGCAACUCCAGGAUAAUUCUGAUAAAGAAUCCGAUGAUGGUGAUAAUGACGAACAAAGGUUAGAUAACAUUGAGUUUAUACCAAAUGAUUUUCUGUUUGUCUUAAAACAAAUCACCACAAGAAAGUAUUUAAUCAAAAUUACUUUGAUUUUUUCCAAAGAUUUUGAAAUUGACACCAUUGCCCUUUUCGACACUAGUGCUGAUUUAAAUUGCAUUAAAGAAGAUAUUGUCCCCAGAAGGUUUCAUGAGAAGACAAACGAGAGACUUUCUGCAGCCAAUAAUUCAAAACUUAAAGUCAAAUCUAAAGUCGACGCCUCUAUUCAUAACAAUGGUUUUGAAUUUAGGACUUCAUUUAUUCUUACAAAUGACAUACACCAUACUGUCAUUUUAGGAACCCCUUUUAUAAAUCUUAUUACUCCAUAUACUGUCAAUUACGAUAGUAUAUCUUUUAAAGAAAAAAAUAAAAAACUUGUUUUUCCUUUUAUUGGAAAACCCAAAACAAGAAAUUUGAAUAUUGUUAAAGCUUGUUCUGUUUAUCAGAACCAAAUCAAUAUUCUUCUCAAAUCUAAACAAAAUGACCUAGUUUGUUUGAAAAAGGAUUUGAAUUUACAAAGAAUUGAAACCCAAUUACAAAAUGAUUUUAUCAAAAGAAAGAUUUCUGAUUUUAAAUCCUUGAUUGAAAAAGAAAUUUGUGCCGAUUUACCAUCUGCUUUUUGGAACCGAAAACAACAUUUGGUAGAUUUGCCCUAUGAGAGUUCUUUUGAUGAAAAACAAAUUCCCACCAAAGCUCAUCUGAUCCAAAUGAACAUGGAUUUGGAACAACACUGUAAAGAUGAAAUCAAAGAUUUGGAGUCCAAAGGACUCAUUGUUAAAUCUCGAUCUCCUUGGUCUUGUGCCGUAUUUUAUGUUAAUAAAAAUUCUGAAAUUGAAAGAGGGACCCCGAGACUAGUUAUAAACUACAAGCCUCUCAAUAAAGCUUUGAAAUGGAUUAGGUACCCCAUACCUAAUAAAAAAGAUUUGCUCCAAAAACUGCAUUCUACAUUCAUAUUUUCAAAAUUUGAUAUGAAAUCUGGUUUUUGGUAAAUUCAAAUCCAUCCUAAAGAUCGUUAUAAAAUUACUUUUACUGUUCCAUUUGGACAGUAUGAGUGGACUGUAAUGCCUUUUGGCCUGAAGAAUGCACCCUCCGAAUUUCAAAGAAUCAUGAAUGACAUUUAUAGUCCUUUUUCUGAUUUUUGCAUUGUUUAUAUUGAUGAUGUGUUAAUCUUUUCCCAAACGAUUGACCAACAUUUCAAACAUUUAAAGACUUUCUAUCUUGCCACUAGAAAGACUGGAUUGGCCAUUUCUAGCUCCAAAGUUUCUUUGUUUCAAACAAAGAUCAGGUUCCUCGGUCAUUACAUUUCCAAAGGAACCAUUACUCCUAUUGAGCGUUCUCUUGUCUUUGCAGACAAGUUCCCUGACAAAAUCCUAGAAAAAACUCAAUUACAAAGAUUUCUAGGAAGUUUAAAUUAUGUUCUUGAUUUCUGUCCUAAUAUCAAUAGGAUGUUUAAACCCUUGCAUGAUAGAUUAAAGAAAAAUCUUGUUGCAUGGACUGAUGAGCAUACUAGAAUUGUUAAACUUAUAAAGAGUUCUGUUAAAAGCAUCCCAUGUUUAUUUCUUGCAAAUCCUGCAUUACCUAAAAUUGUUGAAACUGAUACAUCUGAUUUAGGUUAUGGAGGAAUACUAAAGCAAAGAGAACAUGAUAAAGAACAAAUAGUGCAAUAUGUUUCUGCCCACUGGAAUGAAUGCCAAAGAAACUAUUCUACUAUUAAAAAAGAAAUUCUUUCUAUUGUUUUAUGCAUUUCUAAAUUUCUAAGUGAUUUAUUAAAUCAGAAAUUUUUACUUAGAAUUGAUUGCAAAGCUGCAAAACAUGUUUUAGAAAAAGAUGUCCAAAACAUUGCCUCAAAACAUAUUUUUGCACGAUGGCAAGCUAUUUUAAGUAUUUUUGAUUUUGAUAUUGAAUUUAUUAAAGGUGAUGCAAAUUCUAUCCCUGAUUUUCUAACUAGGGAAUUUCUCCAGAACAGAUAAAUGCCGUCCAAAAAGAAAGACAAAGGGAAAGAGAUUCUCAAAGACCCUGUGUCCCAAACACCUUCUAAAGCCUCUCAAACCUCACCACCUAAAGAAAAAUUGCUUUCUUCUGCCAUGCCAAUCAAAUCCUGGAUCGACAUGAUAGAAGAUCAAGAAGCCCAGUUUAAAGCUCUUGCUACACAUGAGCAGGUAAAUGAAUGGAUGAAAUCCAUUUCUAAAUCCCCUGAACUUAUGCUCGCUUUACAAAGUUUUUCUCAAAGCCAAAUAUCUCCAAAAGAAGAUAUUGAAAAAGAAAAAUCUGUUUCCAAAGAAGUUUCAAAACCCUCUUCUCAAAAUGUGGUUAUUUCUGGUGAAAGUUCAUCUUCACAAAUUAUUCUUUCCCAGCCAAAGCUUUCAAAGAAAUCUUCUGAUUGGUUUGAUAAAACCCAUUUCCAAAACAUUUUAUCUAUGGAAGAUGGUUUUUACCAUCCUGAUCCUUUUCAAGCUAUUUCAAAGUUUUUCCCUAAGGGCUGGUUUUUCAAACCAUGGGAUUUGACAAAACCCCAGUCCUAUUAUCAAAGCAUUUUGGAAUCCAUUGAGUUGGUAAAAUUCAAACAUUUCUUCCUCAGUGAAACCCAUACAGAGCCAGCCUAUUCCACGGCUACCAUCCUCAAAGUCCUAAGCCCAAAACAGUGGGGUGACCUACUCCACAACCAAAAAUACUUCCCUCAAAAUUUUCAAAUGUGUUUGCCAUAUUGUUUGACCUAUUCCUACUGGGAUUAUCAACAAGCCUGGUAUAACACAUUUUUCAUACAAAACCCAAAGAAAUCCCAUUCCUGGUUAUUUUUCUUCAAUUCAAAGAUAACCGUUCAAAGCCUUCCAAAUUGGUUUCAACAUUGGUGGAACUAUUUUGGUCUAAUACCACAAAUUCUAACUCCAAAUGCCACCAAUUGUCUAAACCUCUUCAAAGCCCAUUAUAUUCCUUCUGACUCAGAGAAAAGAUUUCCCCCCUUUCUCUGUUUUUGUACAAACUUCUUCCUUCCAUGGGUAUGGAUGUGGAAUUUCCGAUAUUAUACCCAAGAAGCCCAGCUCAUCCUACAAAGAACUAUGGCAAAAUGUCCGGUCGGGCUCGGGCUUGGCCAAGCCCUACCCGACCCGAUCAAAAGAAAUGUAAAGCCCGACCCUAAAAAUGCCCGAAUACUAUUUAGUUAGGGUCGGGCCGAGCCCGGCCCGAAUCGGGCCAACAUCGGGUCGAGCCCAACCCGACCCUACCGAAAUAAUUAACCCCACAAUUUAAUUCUCAUUUUCCACCACCAUUUUAACCAAUUCGGUAAUUACUCAACCAUUUCAAACACAAUCUAAUCCACUUUCCACAACUAUUUCAACCAAUUCCACAACCAUUUCAACUCCACACACAAAUCAAUUCUAAAAUCUAACAUGAAAAACACACAAUGUAAUAAAAUUAAAAACACACAAUAUAAUUUCACAACUAUUUUACCCAUACACAAUUCAAUUCAAGAACCCAACAUAAAAAAUAAAAAAUAAAAAACUCAUGUCUUAUACAAAUAAAAAUACAAUGCAAUUAAAUUAAAAACACACAAUAUAAUUUCACAACCAUUUUAGUCAUACACAAUUUAAUUCAACAACACAACAUAAAAAAAAAAAAACUCAUGUCUUGUACAAAUAAAAAUACAAUGCAAUUAAAUUAAAAAGACACAAUGUGUGAUGUUGUGUGUAUGUUAACUUGUGAUAGUUUUUUUUUUUUUUUAAAUAGGGUCGGGUCGGGUCGGGCCGGCAUUAAGCCCUACCCUAACCCUAAAUUUGUUCAGGCCUUAAAAUCUUGGCCCUAACCCGACCCUAAACUUGAAAAUUCGGGCCAAAGCCCUAAAAAUUAGGGUCGGGUCAAUCGGGCCAAAAAUCGGGUCGGGCUAAAUUGCCAAGCCUACAAAGAACCUUUAAAGUUAAGUGGUGGUCAAAGUUUGACGAACAGUCCAAAUUAACUGAUACCCUGAUCCGUAAUUGGCUCUGUUCUAAAGGCUUCAUACCCCCAACAAUUAAAGCUGCCAAAGCCCAAGAAACCUUUCUUACCCAAAAAUCCAAAGCGCAAUCUCUUUUGGCCAGCGCCAAAACUGAAGAAGAAUAUUUUAAAGUUAUGGAGCAGCUCCUCACCUCACGAUCAAAGUCCUCAGUUGCAGACACCUCUGAUGACGAUGAAGAAGAUGAAGAACCAUUUAUUUCUCUUGGAGAUGAAAAUGAAGAUGAUUGUUUCGGAAUUUUCUCUCCAAUAAAGCAUUGUAAAUAGUUAUCGUUUAUGUAUUAAAAAAAAAAUUAAUUAUUCAUCUUUUGUAAUCUCCAUUUGUAUUUUCCUUUUUUCUAUUUGUAUGUAUCUUCGGGUGGUCCCUUGGACACAAGUGAGAGCGCACAUGUCUCUUCACCCGUAUCAUACUCAUAUUUUAAAGCUUGUAUAUUCUAGUUCCAAAGAUUACUGUUCCAAGCUACAGUUUUGCUACAGUGGAGAAGCUACAGACUCGCUACAUUAAAAAACUCAAUUUUGUAUUUAAUUCUGGAGGAAGACUUAGACUCCUCAGAAUUUUUUCCUUUCUCGUUUUAUUCUCUCUCUCUCUUCUCUCUCUCUCUCUCUGUAUUCAAAGAACGUUGUGAAUUCUGGUAUUAGAGCCACAAUUUAGUGAUUUAUUUCUUGCAAAUCCUUCAUUACUUAAAAUUGUUGAAACUGAUGCAUCUGAUUUAGGUUAUGGAGGAAUACUAAAGCAAAGAGAACAUGAUAAAGAACAAAUAGUGCAAUAUGUUUCUGCCCACUGGAAUGAAUGCCAAAGAAACUAUUCUACUAUUAAAAAAGAAAUUCUUUCUAUUGUUUUAUGCAUUUCUAAAUUUCUAAGUGAUUUAUUAAAUCAGAAAUUUUUACUUAGAAUUGAUUGCAAAGCUGCAAAACAUGUUUUAGAAAAGGAUGUCUAAAACAUUGCUUCAAAACAGUUUUUUGCCAGAAGGAAAUAUGAUCGAAGAACGGAUGUGUUUUAAGCAGAAUUUAAAUUUAGUGACUCCAAGCGCAAGUUUUAAUUGGGGUAUGUGGCGUUGUUACCAGAUCGAUGCAGAGCUUAAUCUGCCUUUGGACCCAGAUCUGACUUAGAACAUAUCAAUAGUCCACACGUUCUGUUUUCCAGCCUAUAUAUCUUUAAAUUCUUUGAAAAAUCUUGAUCUUUAAGCAAGCCUAGCAACAGAUCUAAAGGCUCAUAGAUAGUUGAUUGUAUUGGUUUUGAUGUAUUGUAAAAUUUUUGAUUUUAUGGCCAUAUAAUAUAGAUAAUCAAGGUUUAAGUUUAUUCACACACACGCGCACGUACACGCACACACAUACACAUAUAAUUAUAGGAGUGACUAAUGAGCCUUUUUCUUUUCUCAUUUUGAGAAAAUCUCAAGUACAAAAAACGUAUUAUAACCAUUUAGUGAAAUUAGUUAUGACAUACGCACUCUGAUUUUAUUAUACUAUAAUUAUCUUCUUCUUCUUUUUUUUUCCAACUUAAAUGUACACGUACGUGAUCAAUGACUAUGGAUUAUGUAGAGGAGUUUAUCAUUUUAUUGAAAUUCUAAUGAUUGUCACAACAUAUUAAAGGGAGGUUGGCAGUUUCCUUCAUGUAGAAAUUAAUACAUACCAUUUCUCUUUUUAUUGUUUUCAUAAUAAUUAAUAACUUUCAUUCAUCAUAAUUUUAUAGUAUUAUUCUUAUUUUAAGAUAUUUUAAAAUUUAUUUAAUUAUUCAUCUUUAUUAUAAAUUAAAUAAAUUAUAUAAACAGAAAUUGAAAUAAAAAAAUUUAAAUAUUAGAAAUAAGAAAUAUAAUUUUCGGUGUUGAUAAAAAAUUAGUAUGAAUAUAGUUUUCUUUUUUUUUAUCUUUAAACAUAUUUUCUUAUGGUAAAUAUAUAUUUUAUAUUUUUAAAAUAAAAUAUUAAGCAAAUGACCCAUUUACCUUUACUUUCUUUUAAGUUUUUUUUUUAUACGAAGAGAUUAUUAACUAUUAUGAAAAUAAUAGAUGAAUAAAUAUUUUACAUAAAUUUCGACGGAGAGAAACUAGCAAUACCCUUAAACGAUUGAACCUUCAGUAUCUUAGUAGUUGACUGUGAAUGACAUUUUAUUCCACCCCAUUGCAAUUGUUGCUUGUCUUCCACGGAUAUCUUGAUUACGUUUGCAAGCUUAUGUUAUAAGGGCUUCGUCAUUGCCAUUAUUACGAAAUUAAAUAGACUACGAUUGUUGACCUAAUUUGAAAAUUCCUCCAUUGUUUAUUAUUUUUCGCUUUCUAAUUUAUCAACAUCAGCGAUAUCAAGUCAUUCUUUUAAUUAAAAACCUUGGGGAAGACGAAAUAUAUAUUAACUUACUGUCUUUUCUCAACAACUUUUUAGGUGAGAUUAGUUUAAUAAAUUACAUGAUAAAUAAUACUCUUGCUUGAGUCUACAUAUAAUUAUAUAUGAUGUAAAAUUAAGAUUCUUUUUUUUUUUGUCGUAAUACAUAGAAUUGUUCGUACUAUUAUUAUAACAAAAUAAUUAAAAUUUAUGAGUUGAAGUUGUCAGAAAAAUAAACUUAUUUCCAAUGAAUGGCAUUUGGAGGAACAAAAUAAAUCCGAAACUUUUUUACGCGGAAAAAAUCAAUUAACAUUAAUGAAGUCCAAAUGUCCAAAUAUAAUGGGAAAUUGAAUUCUUCAAUACCUUGCUGUUUCUUCAUAUUUCUUUAUAAAUUUACCGAUUCUUUACUCUAAAUUCUAGAAUUUGUCUUCAUACAUACAAUGGAAACUUAUUCUCUAAGAUACUGUAAAAAAACAAAAAAAUUAACAAAACCUAAUCAGUUGGUAAAUUUUGAUUAAUUAUUAUCUAUUAUUAAUAAUUAGGUGGACCUAAACGUUCCAAAUACAUUAAAACAAUCGAUCAUCUACAUUAUUCUAUAUUUUGAGGAGAGAAAAAAAAAAGACAAAAUCUUUUAGAUCAUCCACAUUAUUCUACAUUAAUCUUUUUUUCUUUUUUUUCCUUAUGAAAAAGCAAUUAAAUUAAUAAGUAGAAAUUUCUUUACAUUUUCGCCGGAGAAUCAGAGUCAAAUUCAAAUACAACGACUCAAAGCGCAAAAGCUUAUAAAUAGAGGAGAGCAAAAAUAAAGCCCCGCUCCAGUUCUCUUCUCUGUCAGAGGCUACGGAUUUGAGAGAUUAAAGAACAUCAAUCGAACAGUAAGACUCCGUACUCUGUGACUCAAAGUUGCAAAAACUUUUAGGUAAAAUUUUUUCGAUUAAUUUUUUAAUUUUCGAGAAUAAAGAGAGAGAGAGAGAGAGAGAGAAAAGAGAUGGGAUUAUGUCUGUCUGGGAGUGAUGUGAGGGGAGGGAAACAAGCCAUAGGUGGGGCCCAUCUCCGGCCCACCAGCACGGCUGAUCAGAACAAUGUCUCUGGUCAAAACGACGCCGUUGAUUUCUUCUUCAAAUCUCGCGGCCUUCAUGCCCUUUUCACCCAAAUCGAGGUAUAUGUGUGUACCUGAAUUUUAUGAGUCUUUCACUGCCACUAUUUAUAAACUAUUUUCAGUUAAUUAAUUAAUCAAAAAUUUAUGAUUAGUUUAUAUUUUUUAAUUUAUUUAUAAUUUUUUAUUUUUAUUUUUUAAAUCUAACUUCGUUCAUGUCUGUAAUUGUGAUGGAUUCUCAAAUGGUCAUUCGUUUAAAAAUCUAUUCCUAAAUUAUGUUUGCUAUUAUUAUUUAUUUAAUGACUUGGCAGUGUAACAUCGAACAACUUAAAUCAUCAAUAUUUGAUAAAAGUUAUUUGAUAAUUCGAAUACAAAUAGAGAGUAUAGAUUCCUAUUCAAGAAUCAACCGCAAUCCCAAACAUGCCUUUUUUUAAAUAAUAUAAGAGGAGUAUUUGGAAUUUUGGAGGGCGAAUAUUUUACUUGGUGCUCCUUCAAAGGACAAAGGACUUAAGCAUCUCCUCAAAAGAAUGCCUAUCGGGUGCUUCUUUGAGAAGCAUUUUUUUUUCUUUCUUUUUUUUGAAUUUGUUCUGGUGGCUGAUCUUUUGCUGGUGUUGGUUCGACGGUUUCACACCAAGCAAGUGCUUUUGUUUUGCAUAUGGAGAACAGUAAGUUUAACUGCUUAUACCCAAUGACAACAUUCUGUGGAGUGAAUUUUAGAUUAAGAUUGGUUAAGGUAAAUAAAAAAAGAAUGGUGUUGAAUGCACAAAGGCCUUGUGAACGUUGAGAAAGUUGAUGUUUGAUCCUGUUGAAUGCACAGUGGUUUUCCUGUGUAUCCUCAAAGUUGACUAUUCAGUUAUGCCUCAUUUAUCAAAUUUGACUCAUACCCCUCGUGAUCAAAUUUGACUUGUACCCCUGUGAAGAUUCCCCAUGAUAAUGCUCUCCUGAAUGGAACAUGAUUUUGUGAAUGCUGGUUUGCAUAAGACAAACCAUUAACUUUAUAAAAAAUUGUGGAUUAAGGAUUAUGUUGUUACGAGGAUAAGAAUGUCUUUCCAUAACAUGGACCACCAAGUAAUUGUAAUAUUCCUGUAUUGAUGUGGACCUUACCUGAGGAUCUCCUUGGAAACUUUCCUGGAGAAAAGGAAACAAGUCAUAUGAUAACAAAUUAAAUGUGGUUCAAUGCUUGUAAUUGACGUGUCACAUCCUGUUGUUAUAUAAAACUUAAUUACAUAUAUUAUUGCUUGCUGCUUAUAAGAUUUAAUAUUAGAAGUGAUUCUGUCAGAAUCCGAAAUGAUGGUUUUCUGCAGGUUCUGUUUAUGACAGAUAUAUAUUGCCUGUCAGUUGACCCACAUCGUACUGACAAUUUUCAUUUCGUGCAGCAUACGCAUGGAUUACUCCUUUUCCGCUUUUUCAUGUAUCUGUAUUCGUUCUUAUGUUUUUGAAUAUAAAUUGCAGUUAUCUUUAUCUGCUUCAAAGUUACGUGAUCUUGACAUCGCAUCAAAGGUACACCUUCAUAUUAUUGUUGUCUUAUGUCUAAUAAUGCCAUGUUCAUGCUGUUGAUAGUCUUGGUGAUUGAUUCUCAUGUUAUCUUGUAUCCUCCUUAUAUGAUCUGCUUAUUUGUUCAUAAUGGCCCUGUCAAUAUCCUUUCUCUGUUCAUGAAGGGUCUAGGGAUAUAUGAUCUGAAUAACGCUUAGUGCUGGCACCAAAAUUCUAAACUUAGACAAAGAAGAAUAGUUUGUUAUAUACACUGUCUGUCUCCAAUGUAAUCCAGUAAGGAGCAGUAACUUGAGAGUUCCAGAUAAUGUAUAACAAGUCAUGGUUGGUGGUUUUAUUGUUUUUGCAAUUUUGUGCACUAGUCAAAUAUGUUAUAUGUGCAAGAUAAAAUUCUUUGAUAAUGAACAUUUAUCAGCGGUAUAUCUUUUUACUAGCUGAUACUAGCAUACAUCAAAUGCUGCUGUAUUUUAAUGAUGGAUUACUAACUAUAGUUAUUUAACUAAUAUAUGUUUAUAUUUAUACUCACAAGCAAAUGUAUUUACAUGUCUUUUUGUGUCAUAGAGUGAUCCCAUGGCAGUUGUGUAUGCAAAGAAAAGAGAUGGGAGGCUGGAGGAGAUUGGACGUACAGAGGUGAUUAUGAACAAUCUGAAUCCUGCUUGGAUUGGAAAGAUUUCAAUUGCUUUUCAGUUUGAGAUCGUCCAGCCCUUGGUGUAAGUUUUUAGUGUGUUCUUUUUAAAGUUUUUUUUUUCUUGAUAGGUCAUGUGCUUAUCAUUUCUCAUAAGCCUUGCUUGAUUUGAUAAUAUUUAAUGUUUUCAAAUUUCUUAAUGCUUUUCUUCUUUUUCCAGCUUUCGUGUGUAUGAUGUGGAUACCAAGUACCACAAUAUUCCAGUGAAGGUAUAUAAAAAUUUCUUAAUUAUUAUUUUUUUCUCUCAAUUCAGAUGUAAAUGAUACGCACAUACUUCAGUUCCAAAGUUUAGAGUUAGCCAAGGCAUUUGACUGAUCCAUUUGUUGUCUAAGCAUACGUCUAAACUAAAUUGCAUCAGCAAUAGUUUCUAUCAAUUUCGGGAAAUUUGGGAAUACUUGAUUGAUUAUUAACUAACAUUUAGCAUGGCAAGAAACUUAAAAAGUUGGCUGUCGUAUAACAUAAACAAAUCUUAAGGCCAGGAUAGUUAUUAUGGAACUUUCUGCUAUUGCAUCUUGCAAGGUUUGACAUAUUUGUCCUGCUACCAUAACUGGGAAAGAACAAUUUUUCUGAUGGUCCUUACGGCUAAAUUUUCUUUUUUCCAAAAUGGAAUUUUGAUCUAUGUUGUUAAAAACAAUACAGUUAAAUAGUUGCUGCCAUGACCUAAAGAAGUUUCUGUAAAAAAUGACCAUAUUGUCAGUAUUGGAAUGGAUAAGUAAAUCUUUAGAGCCUAUGAUGUAUUCGUCUGUGGAAUUUGAGUCAAAAUGAAAAAAAUUUGAUGGUUAUAAUCCUAGAAACUGUAAUCAUUUGGAAGAAUUUGCUGAAAACAGUUAGAUAAUCUAAAAAUGUGAUGAUUAUUUAUGUCAAUUGUAAAUGGUAUUAACAUUACUGGGAAAAAUGAUAAAUAUGUAAAUUUAUGCCAGUGGAAAGAGAAAAUGAACAAAUCCAGAUGGAUUCUAAGACAUUAAGUAGGAAAUCUAGUGUUCUUUUGAUUCUUUGCUGCAGUGAUCCCUAAUUACUUUCAAGUCAUUAUUAUCUCAUGACAAAAUAUUUGUUGAAGCGUGAAGUUUAAAGUUCAAGCUUCUUAUUUACGUUGCCCUACAGAUGCUAAAGUUGGAGGAUCAAGACUUCCUGGGAGAAGCUAGUUGUGUUCUCUCUGAGGUAAGUUUCUGGGUUAUAUUUUGUUUGAUGAAUAUAUGUAUUUUCUCUUUAUUCAAUGGGCAAAAUAUGCCCAUCUAAUUUUCUGUAAAAAUCUGUUUCCUAAAAAAAAAAAAAAGGGCAAAAUAUUCUCAGAUGCUUUUUACUAGCAUUCGUCUUCUUCUUAAGCAUUCUUCUUUUUCACUAACAAGUGUCAUAUUUUCCUUUUAAAUGGCAGAUAGUGACCAAACAAAAUCGAACUUUAACCUUAAAACUCCAUAACAAUUACGGGCCUCGAGUUUCAAGAAACUUUGGGACACUCUUUGUCCAUGCUGAGGAAACAGUUGCUUCCAAGAGUGCUGUUGAAAUAGCAUUCCGUUGCUCGCAUUUGCAAAAUGUAGACCUGUUUUCAAAAAGUGUAAGUUCUGACAAAGUAGCUAAGUUUGGAGGUUCACUAAUUAAUCUAUUAAUGUAGAUGCUCAUUCUUCUUCUUCUUAUAUUCUAUAGGAUCCAUUCUUAAGAAUAUCUAGAAUUGUUGAGAGUGGAAAUUCUGUUCCUAUCUACAAGACGGAGGUGAUAAACAAUAACUUGAAUCCCAUUUGGAGACCAAUAACUUUGAGCAUGCAGCAAUUUGUGAGCAAGGUAACCUUAUCAUCUUCUUGUGCUUGUUACUUAAAUGUAUAUUCAGGGCCGGCUUUAGAGUGUUUGGGGCCUUAGCGAAAUUUUUUUAUGAGGCCUCUAUUUGUUUUGCAAUUUCAAUACUCAAAGAAAUAAAAAAAAAAUGCUCAAAAUUUAUUUCAUUUGUAAUUCUUGAAUUUUAAAAAUAAAACCUAAAAAAAAAGUUAAGAAGAUAUUUUUUUAUUCCAUUAAAACUAUUACAAAAUAAACAAUCAAAUAAAUACGAAUAAUAUUAUUUUCAAAUAGGAUAUUUCGAAUGAUAGAACAUAAAAAGUUGAGAUGAUGAAUUAAUGAUCAGAUAAUAGAAAUGGACUUUGUAUUUCUAUAAAUUGAUUUUUUUUAAAUGAACCAAUGAAUAUAGUAUUUUUCUUUCUAGAGAAGUGAGGAAGAAAUUUUUUCAUUUACUGAUUUUUUAGAUUACAAAUUUUUUAAUGGAAAUUAAAAGAAAUACUAAAAGUCAAAUAUUCUAACAUUAAAUAAUUAAUUUUUUUGAGGAAAUUGAAAAGAUAACUAAUUUAAUUUUUUUUGGAAAGACUAAUAAUGAAUGAAUUAAUGAUUAAAUAAUAUUAUUAGUUAUAUCUAUUUAACAUUAAUGUUAUCAAAUAUAGUUUUUUCAUAAAAAAUAAUUCUUAACUAUAUGAUAAUUAAUAAUUAGAGAGAUGUUAAUAAGCUUUUUGAUUUCCUAAAAUACGUAAUUUAAAAAAAUGAGAAUUAUUAAAAAAAAUUCAAAAAAUGAGGCCUUCACAAAAUAUGGGGCCUUAGGCGACCGCCUUGUUCGCCUAUACCUAAAGCCACCCCUGUGUAUAUUAGGUAGUGAAGUUUGGUCAUGGGGAAAUGUUUUUUAGUAUAUGAUUUUCUUUGGUACAGGAAAACCCAUUAAUCAUUGAAUGUUUUGAUUUCAAUACCAGUGGAAAUCACGUACUGAUGGGGUAACUGUUAAAUUUCUUAAUGUCAUUAGCUUCCCUCUUUUAUCCUUUUGCCUUUCUGAUGUCAAGUUUUUCUAUUUCUGUUAUUAGUAAAAUUCAGAAAUCAGUUGGAGACCUGGAGAAACUUCAUCAAGAAAGAACUGGUGCAACUUAUGUUACCAUCAACUCAACGUGGCCAUGACAAGGUGUUUAUUCUUUUUUGUUUUAACUCCACCAAAGGUGUUUGUUCAUGCUUACGGUUUUUGAUAAUUUAAUAUCACUUUAUUGUUUAUCUGACUUUUUCCUAGGUUCUGAAAAGUCAGUUGUUUGUUGAAAAGUUUGUUGAGAAAGAGCAAUAUAGUUUUCUGGAUUACAUAUCUAGUGGCUUUGAGUUGAAUUUUAUGGUUGCAGUCGACUUUACAGGUAAUUAGAAAGACAUUGCUUGUUGGAGAUAAAUUGGCAAUAUAAUCGUUUUGUUUUGUUUAUUUCCUCUUAUUUGGUCCAACUUCAUCUUGCCUCUCGUUAAAUGCAAAAUCAUCCAGCUUCAAAUGGAAAUCCUCGAAAUCCAAAUUCUUUGCACUAUAUUGAUCCUUCAGGCAGAUUGAAUUCUUACCAGCAGGUAAGGUUUUGUUAUGACUCACAUUUUGACAAGUGAUCUCUGAACUCUGAAGGUCAUAAAAUGGUCAUUUUGUCCAGUGUUUUCGACUUAGAAAAUGCAUGUGACUUUCAAGUCUUUCUAUGGCCGUCAUAGGAAAAUAGAUAUUUCAAUAGUUCGUAGAAGUUGAGAGAGAAUAUCACUGAUUAGUUAUUGGCCUCUUAAACCAUUUACAGGCAAUAACGGAAAUUGGGGAGGUCAUACAAUUUUAUGAUUCUGAUAGACGCUUUCCUGCAUGGGGAUUUGGAGGGAAGACAUUUGAUGGCACUGUAUCACAUUGUUUUAACUUGAAUGGAAGAGCAGGUGGCUUUGAGGUAGGGGUAGCUGGAGUUCGCAACUUUGCUGUAAUCCUUAUUUGGUUGGCUUGUCUCCCAUAACUUUUCAUUUUUAAUAACAAACAUUAUAAUAUGUUUCUACAUUUUCUGAAAAUUUCCUUGGAAUUCAUUUUUUUUAUUAACUGCUGGUUUCUUUAUUUAAUAGGUAGAUGGAGUUGAAGGCAUUAUGGCUGCUUAUGCAAGCGCUCUAAACAAUGUUUCUUUGGCAGGACCGACUCUGUUUGGUCAAGUGAUCAACACAGCUGCACGAAUUGCUGGACAGUCCCUCUCAUACGACAGAAGCAAGUAUUUCGUCUUACUCAUUAUAACGGUGAUUACAAUGAUUCUAUAUAUUCACAGUUUUCUCUUUCUAUCAUUCUUUUUGGGUGAUUUGUAAAUUUGCAUGGUCUAUCUAGGAUGGAGUUCUGACAGAUCUCCAAGAAACGAAAGAUGCUUUGGUAAGGGCUUCUGAUCUUCCCCUGUCAAUUCUAAUUGUGGGUGUGGGAGGUGCAGAUUUUACACAAAUGGAGGUACACAAUGUUUUCCAACUAGAAUAUCUUCUUACUAGCAUUGAACUUCUUUUUUCUAUAGUUUGAUAGAUUCAAUUUAGAGUAUAUAUGCAGUGUGGUAUUAUCCCACUUUUGUUGCAGAUUCCUGAUGCUGAUAACUUUGUUGGCAGAUUCUUGAUGCCGAUAAUGGCCGUAGAUUAGAGAGCUCUACCGAUCGGGUAGCUACCAGAGAUAUAGUACAAUUUGUUCCAAUGCGAGAAGUUCAUAGUGAGUGCAUAUGAUUCUUUGAAAAAAUUAGUUCAAACUAUUGAAUUUGGGAGUUAAUUCACAGAAGUUUCUGAAUUUUUUCAUGCCUGAAGAAAGGAACCCAUUGUUUUCUGAACAGGUGGGCAAAUUUCUGUUGUACAAGCACUUUUGGAGGAGCUGCCUGGUCAGUUUUUGACCUACAUGCGCUGCAGAGAUAUCAAACCACUCAAUGUUCAGAUGGCCCAAACAUGCGCUUGAGUAAAUAUUCAUAUAUUUGGAAAGGAUACAAAACCAAGCCAAAUAUAUUAGACAAGACCAAGCCAAACAUAUUAGGCUAUACAAACAUAACAUAGCAGAAAUUGAUAAUGGUACAUUACAUAUGUUAGGAUAUAGCAGUUUUAGAUGAUGGUAAAUUACAUAUGUUAAGAUAGAGUGGUUUGUAACUAACUUUUGAUGGCUUAAUGAAUUGAUUGAAUUUGUAUUUAGAUUCUAUCAAUGAUCUCCUAUCCAUGUCUUUCGAUUUUUAUUAUUCCCUCUACCCACUUGUUUCACAAUUUGUUUGUGUCUGAUGGCCUAAAACUCCAAUUUCUGUACAUGAACAUGUGCUGAAUGUCUACUACAAUGAACAUGUGCUGAAUGUCAACUUUUACUACUACACCAGCAAUCUAACACAUGGCUCACGUGCACACUAGACAAGUCUGAUUCACACAUCUUUAAAGUGUUGUAUUAUAACUCUCUGAAACUGGGUUUGAGUAAUCAAGAAAAGCCAAAAUGUAGAACAAUGACAAUAAAAAAUGAAGACCCUCUUACAGUCUUUAACUUGAUAGAAAAAACACGAGCUGCAUACCAUGUCUGACAAAUUUCAAAGAAAAUUGGCCUCAUUCCUGAUGCUGCACAGAAGGUUGGCCUGAAUCAUCUUUAAGAAAGCUCAUUUAUUACAUUAAUACAUUAUAUCAGUGAGAUGAUGCUACUUUAAUGAAACUCAUGUCUCAAGUUUGGAACAGCUACAUGGGCAUUUCAUCGAACAGUUGAUAUGCUUGGUAGAUAAUCGAAGUUUCCUGGAAGUUGCAAGGGCUGCCGGCAUUUUCAAAAUUGGAAGACCAUUCAAAGGUUUUCAAUAGUUAGUUUGAUAUUACACGUGUGAUAAUCUUGUGAUGAUGAUGAUUUUAUGUGUCUGAUUAUAAGCUAAGCUAAGCUAGUGGAUUUGUAAGUAAGCACACGGCAAAGUAUUUAACCUUCUUAUUGUCGCAUUCUUCUAAUCAAUUAGCUUUCACCAACAAAAAUAAUUAAUAAUAAUGUAAAUGGAGGAACUUGGGAUCAUUAACCAGGGAGGAUCCACAUGUUGUCUACAGUGAGCAAUUGACCAGUAAACUUUUAUUUUUCCAUAAUUUUCUAUAUAAAAUCUUGAUAUUUUCAUGAAAUUACAUAAUUUCUUAUAUAAUUGUCUCCAAAAAAUACCAAUAGGUGCACGAACACAAAUAUGAUGCACACAUCUCUUUAAUUAAUUUAGGGCUUAAAGAGAUUUUAAGAUGACUACAAAUUGAAUAUGGCAGAUCUUGGACACCAUCCAUAAGAAAUAAAACUAGUCUCAAAUUGGAUUUCUAAGUACUCAAACAAAGCUAAAAGCAUAAUAAUGAAUGAAAACUGAAACAAAAAAUCCUCUCACCAACACCAUAUGACUCUUAAUAUCUAGAAAGAACUCAAGCUCGAGCCUUAUCCAAAAUGCUGCACAAGUAGCAUGAAUCGUCUUCAUAAGUUUGGAGACUCUGUAGACAAAGAGUAAAAACACAUUGAAGGUGUAGUUUUCACAUAAUUAAAUUGCACAAAUUAGCAUCUAUUAAGGACACAGAAAUCCUUCAAUUCUCUCUAUAAGCAAUUAAUUUUAUUUUUAUUUAUUUUUUUUUUCGCUAUGUCUUGUCUAACAAAUAAUCCUCAACAUAACAACAUAGCAGAGUAGUUAUAUUUUAAAAAGAUGUACCAAUAUGAUUUAACAAAAAAUUCAACAUAAAUAAAACACUUUUAGUCAGCAAAAUAGAAUCAAAUCAAAACCUCCCGUUUAUCUUACCACUAUUUUUCGCAUCUUUUUCCUUUUCAUUCGCCUCGGCGGACUUCUCAUUCUCUUUUUCCUCCCCUUCCUAAUCAGAUUUAAAAUGAAUUUAUAAAAAAAUUAAUAUGUAUUUUUUUCUUUUUUCUUUUUUAUAUAUAUCUGUUAUUAAAUCAGUAAUUUUUAGAAGAAAAAAAAAUCAACAUCUCAUAGUGAAUGAAUACUUACCUUUUUUCUUUUAAGAUAUACGUAUUGAAUGGUUGUAUUAAGGUCCCGAUCCCAAGCCCCAAGUUUCUUAUCGACUAGGCUCAUCUGCACUUCGUGUAACUUGGGUGUGCUUAAUUCCCCUUCUGAGAAAAUCUUCAUAUUGGGGCAAUCUUCCACCACUAAUGUUUCCAGAGAUGGGAAUUUGAAGUCGCAAUUAUUCCCAGAGCAGCUGAAACUAGUCAGACUUUCUAAGUCCAAAAGAAUCAAUUCCUUUAAAUCGCUGAAAACAAUUUCAUCUUUUUAAUCUCCCUCAUCAUCCUCAUCUGCCACUAUUUCUGUUAUCAUCUCGCAGCAAACUAUGUGCAUUCGUCUCAGUCGCACCAGACUCCUUGCUGUUGAGGAUGUUAGUACGUGUAUCAUUCCGUGGCAAAGACAUACAAUCAAAGUUGUUAGGUUCUGAAACGAUGUCGAGGAUGGCACUAGAUUAGUCAAAUUGUCACAAAAAAGUAUCUUCAGCUGUUCCAAAUUGUUGUUAUUGGUUGACUCUUGUUUGAAAAUCUGCUUCAGUUCACGACGCUGGUUUAUUCCCCUCAUCAUUGCUUCCAUCCCAUUUUCAAGGUUUUCAAAUGAUGUGUCCAAAUCUGCCUCAUUGUUCCCUCCUAUAGAGAGAAUUUUGAUGGUGUGAAAUCUCUGGAGGAAAUCGUCAAGUGAUAAAAUAGUACUUGACUCAUCAAGCCAGACAUCAAGACAUUUAAGUUUGCAAAGCCAGUCUUCUGGAAAUAGGCCUAUGUGCUUUUCAUCAACACUCAAUUUCUCCAAAUUGGGGAACACCUGGGUGAUCAUCAAUCACGAAAAAAGCAAGAUGGAGUUAACACUUCUUUCUUGCGAUUUCACAAAUUAAAGUAAAUACAAAGCAUUCCAAUGAUGCAUAUUGAUGGCCGGACAAAUAUAUACAUAUGCGGAGAGAGUAUGAUUUUCAGCUGUAAAUACAAAGUAAAUACAAAGCAUUCCAUUUAAGUAAUGUGUAUUUUCUUCCAUUCUCUCUUCUUAACUCUUGUCCAGUAGAUAGAUUUUCAAAGUUUAUUAGAUUUGUGCAUAAUCUCUAUGAAAAAGACUUCAAUUAUUCUCAAAUUGCAUUUAAACUUUGAGAUUCUUUUAAUUGAUCCGUUUAUUUGGUUUGAAUUGAAAAUCUUACAAAUUUCUUUUUUUUUUUAAAUAUUGGAGUUUUUAACUUUUUCUUAAAGCAAAAAUGAAUAAAUAAUAUGAAUUUUAAAAGUUUAAUAAUAUAGUAAGAAGCUGGUAUUUCAUUAAUAUUCAUCCAACUCAAUGGAAUUAGAUAUAUUUAUUAUUGUGCAAGAAUGGAUUUUAUUGUACAUAAAGUUUAAUAGAAUAAGAUUUCUUAAUUUGAGUUUUGUCCAUCUUUCUAUAUAUAUUUCAAAAAUAUUAUUUAUGUUAGCACAAGAUGACCAAUUUCUACUUCAACAUCAAAAUUGAUAAUCAUUUUGUAUGUAACAAUACUGUACUAAGGAGUACUAAUUUGGAAAUAGCUCUUGAACGAUUUUCAGGGAAUUAACUAUGGCUUGAAAAACUCUAAAUCUUAUGAGUAUUUUCUUUGUUUGGCUAAUCAAAUGCACUCUCUACCGUGUAUUUAACUAAACAUAUAGACAUAAAAUAAAAAGUAGAGGAAGAAGAAAAACUCUGAUAAUUAAGAGAAAAAAAAUUGAACUAACAUUAUUGAAGAGUGAUAAUUAUGUUUAUUGAAGAUUUAUUGAAUUCAAUAUUCAAUAAUGAGAAGAUUUAUUGAAGAGUGAUAAUUAUGUUUAUAAGGAUAUUAUAAAGUAUAAAUAAAGUGAUUUAUAGAACUAACAUUUUCUUACUAAAAGACAAAGUGAUGAGGGCAAUGACGAAAAGAAAACUCUAAACUCUCAAAGUAGAAAUGCUUUUAAGUACGUAAGAAUUGAACAAUAAUUACAAAAAUCUUGCACGUACCUUUUCAAAAUGCAGAUCUCCUGUGCAGAAGCUUGUAAAAAUCUGCUUCAGAUCUGCUUGAGUGUUAUUAUUGGUAUUGGAGGACUCUCCUUUCAAAAUCUGCUUCAGAUCACGACGCUGAUUUAUUCCUGUUAUCACUACCUUCAUUCCAUUUUCAAACUCGUCAGAUGGAUCUUUCCAAAAAUCAUCGUCAUCGUUUUCUUUUAUAACAAGAACUUUGAUGGCUUGAAAUCUGUGGAGGAAAUCGUCAAGUGAUACAAUAGCAGCUGACUCAUCAAGCCGGACAUGAAGACAUUUAAGUUUGCAAAGCAAGUCUUCUGGAAAUAGACCUAUGUGCUUUUCAUCAACCCUCAAUUUCUCCAAAUUGGGGAACACCUGGGUGAUCAUCAAUCACAAAAGUGGCAAGAUGCAGUUAGCACUUCUUUCUAACGAUUUCACAAAUUAAAGUAAAAACAAAGCAUUCCAAUGAUGCGUAUUGAUGGUCACAGAAAAACACAGGGUGGAGUUGAUCUUCUUUCUAAAAACCUCACAUAUUAAAGUAAAUGCAAAGCAUUCUAAUGAUGAAUAAUAUUGAUGGCCAGACAAUACAUGCAUGGAUAGAUAGAUAGAUAGAUAGAUGCAUACAUACAUACAUACAUAUAUAUUGUUCUCAAUUAUUCUUAAUUUACAUUUAAACUUCCAGAUUCUUUUAAUCGAUCGGUUUAUUUGGUUUGAAUUGAAAAUCAUAUAAAUUUAUUUUUUUUAAAAUUGGAUAUUUUAACUUUUUUUUUUUAACAAAAGCAAAAAUGAAUAAACAGCUUGAAUUGCUAGCACAUAUGAAAAGAAGGAAAAUUUGCACGAAUUUAAAAAACUUAAUAAUAUAGUAAGAAGCUGGUAUUACAUUAAUAUUCAUCCAACCCAAGGGAAUUGGAUAUAGUUUACUAUCGUACAAGAAUGGGUUUUAUUGUAAAUAAAGUUUAAUAGGAUAAAAUCUCUUCAUUUGAGUUUUGUCCAUCUCAGUACAUAUAUUUUUAAGCAUAUUAUUUAUGUUAACAUGAGAUGAACAUUGAUCAUCAUUUUGCAUGUAUGUGGCUUGAAAAUGGCACUCAGAAAUAAUAUGCUUAAAAAUAUUUGAAAAUGGCACUCAGAAAUAUUUUUGAUGUACUGUGGCUUGAAAAACUCUAGAUCGUAUGAUCAUUUUCUUUGUUUGGCUAAUCAAAUGCACUGUCUCUUUCGUGUAUUAACUGAACAUAUAGGCAUAAAAUAAAAAGAAAAAAAGUAGACGAAGAAGAAAAUCUCUUGAAGAGUGAUAAUUAUGUUUAUUGAAGAUUUAUUGAAUUCAAUAUUCGAUAAUGAGAAGAAUUAUUGAAGAAUGAUAAUUAUGUUUAUAAGGAUAUUAUAAAAUAUAAAUAAACUGAUUUAUAUAACUAAAAUUUUGUCACUAAAAGAUAAAGUGAUGAGGGCGAGGAAGACAAUAAAACUCUGAACUCUCAAAGUAGAAAUACUUUUCAGUACGUAAGAAUUGAAAAAUAACUACAAAAAUCUUGCACGCGUACCUUUUCAAUAUGCAGAUCACCUGUGCAGAAGCUUGUAAGCUGCGGAAGAGAACGAAGCUCAAGUGUCCUUAAUUGAGUGAGUUCAAUGACCAAUGGAAAUACAUUUUUCAAUUUAUCACACCCUUCCACCCUUAUGGUCUUUAAUUUGCUAAAAGACUCUGCUGUGAGUGGACCACGACAUAUUUCCUCAAGGUUCCUUAAAUCUCUCAGAAAUAAUGACUCCAAAAGGGGGAAUGCAAUCGUCGGAGCUGGCGUACAAUCCAUUGUGUCAACAAGACGAACAAGGUUGCCAUUAUGUUCGAUUUGGAGACGAUUCAGUUUUGGAAAGACUUCUCUGCCUGGUUCACAAAGAACAUUCUUCAUGUCCGGCAAUCCAUCUAAAGUUAGGUCUUCAAUACCCUUCAAUUGCAUGAUAUGCCCCUCGUUCAAGCAAAUGUUGGCACCAUUGGUGAGCUUCAGUUUGAAUUUUCUAGAAAUCCCAUCCGAUCGGCCAACCGACCACCAGUCAUAUCCUAUCGAUAUCCUGUACCUUUGCAGCAUUUUGAAGAACGACAAGUCUCUUGGUAGAGUCUUUUCAUCUUGGAUGAGUAUUUCUAAAGAGGUCAAUUUAGAUAAAUUAUUCAACUCGUCAAGGCUGGCAUUUCUUCUUUCACCGUCGACUCCUCCAACCUUCCCCCACAUAAUGGGACUCUGACCGAUAUACAAUUCUUCUAAUCGUGAUAAGCUUGAUAUGACAUUUGGUGGAAUAACUUGUAGAUUGAAACAGUAACUCAGAUCCAAUAACCUCAAUUGAGUCAGCUCGCCCAUUUCUUCAACUAGUUUCUCCAUAUCAGAACCUCGAAGUGUAAGUAUUUCUAAUUUCUUCAGGCUCCAAUAAUAGCUAUGUCUCCUAGUAUACAAAAAUCCAGAGACAAUGUUCGAAGGUUUUGUAAGAGACCAAGCGAUGAAGGCAAUGCCAACAAAUGCAUCUCAGUGAAAUCUAAAACUCUAAGCUCUGUCAUCUCAGUAAAAAUGUUAUCUGGGACUCUCAAAGAAGGAUCAUUGCUAAUACGAAAGUAUUUAAGUUGCGGACACUCGAACCCUUGAGGAAGCUCACUAAUAUUAGUAUUAAAUAAGGAGAUUGCGGUGCAAACCUUCAGUGUAUCCUUAUCUGGCCAGCUGGUCUCAUUUUCCACCGCAAACACAUGUUGGACUCUAGAUGCAAUAGAUAUGGCUACAUCACGAACAACAUCAUGCAUUGAAAACCAUUCACUAGUAUCGCCAUCAAGCAACAAACAAGAGUUCUUGAGUUUAUCAAUCAAUGUAUGUGCUCUAUCCCGUGCCUCUUCCAACGUGUUGAUGUUUUGAAACAGACCCAAACCCAUGCCAUAACAGAUCACGUCUUCAACACAAGAGAUGAACGUGUACCCUAUUAGCAAAAAGGUUUGCCUGAGUUCCUCACCUUCUAACUGAUAGUAACUCAACUCUAUAGUUGAAUAGGCGGCCACCGCUUGUGUCCCAGAGAAACUUCUCAAACAAGGCCUUUUUAAUUGAAGUAAAGCAUUCCUCCAUUCAUAGAGACUCUUAUUUUUCAAUGCCUUCGCUACGGGCACGAUGGCAAUGGGCAAACCAGCACAUUCCUUGACUACCUCUGUCGCUACAGAUUGCAGUUCACCAUUUUCCAUGCAAUCACCUGUCAUCUUCUUGAAAAGACUCCAAGCUUCUUUUUCAUUCAGAACAUCAACAAAAAAAUUUUGUUGACAAUCCAUUUUACAAGACAACACAUCUUGACUUCUUGCUGUCAGCAGAACUUUACAUCCGCCGUUAUCAUCUGCCAAUGGAAUUCCAAUCGCCUCCAAAUCGAGACUCCCCAAGUAUCAUCCAAGAUUAUGAGGAUCUUCGUCUCUUUCUUCAAUUGUUCGAGCAGCCUCCAUGCUCUUACAGUUUCACUCUCUUCAUCUAUUUUCAGGCCCAGCUUCUCUGCAAUUUCUCUUUGUAUUUCUUUUAUUUGUGGUGUUUGGGAAACACGUGAAGAAAUGACCUUCUCAAAGAGAUUAUUUUCCUUGGCCUGUCUGCCAACUUCUUUCACCAGCGUUGUCUUUCCAAUGCCGCCCAUCCCGUACACCACAAUCAUGUUGAAGUUACGGUUGCUGAGUGCGUCUAGUAUCUCCUUCAAGGUGGACUUUCUCGAUUCAAAGUGCAUGAAAUCCUGGGUAGACUUAAGCCAUGUCUCCUCUGGAAUGAUACGGAAAGAAACACUGUCGAAUCUCCCUUUUUCAUGGAGUCCAACAAUAGCAUUCGCCUCUCUUUCUGCUUUCUUGCUAAGCUGGUACCGAGUCCUCAAAUUAGGACAUAACCCCUUCAAACACCGGUUGUUUGAAUUCUCUUUGUCUUCAAUAAGUAUUUCGACUUCAUUGAUCUCCUUGUUCGCAGCAAUCAGCCAUUCCUCAACGUGCUGUUGGAUUCCGUCCCCUUUAAUUCUGGAAUCAUCAACCUUAUACUGCACACUGUCUCUAGCAUUCUUGAGCUUAUCAACUUCAUUAUUCAGCUUCUCGAAGUUGGUCUUGUAAGUGCAGCAGUAAGUAAAUGGAUAAAUUAUGGGAGCAACCAAGUACUCUGCAACUUUUGCCGCAACGGAGAUAACAAUUUCCAUUAUCCCUUUCUUUUUUUUCUUUUUUUCUUUUUUCUUUCAAAAGACAGGGGAAAGCAAAACUAAUCAAACUAAGCAGAACUAAUCAAUCAGCUGGUGUUAAGGAAGCCCAUUGAGCAUGUGUGUCAAUGAUGAGUCAGCAGUUAGUUGGGUAAAGAAGCCAACUCAGCAAAUCUGUUAAUCAUGUUUUACGUUCUGUUCUUCAGUUGUUAGUGAAGCUUUUAAUUCUGUUGAGAUAUGAGUUAGUAUAAAUAAGUUGUUAUUGUAUUUUGUAAAUAACAAUGUGAGAUUCAAUAAAAGAAGAAUAGUUUCUAAGGAAAAAUAUUGAUCAUUAUUUUCUUAGCUUCCAAACAACUUUUACAGUCACAAUUCAACUUUCUAACAUGGUAUCAGAGCCAGUAAGAGCAAGCUCUAGUGCUCAGCAAACAAAUCAACAAAGUCAAAUAAAUUUUUCUUUCAACACUCCAAUUAAACUAGAUCGAUCGAACUAUCUACUUUGGCGUUUUCAAGUUUUAGCUUCCAUAAGAGGCAAUCGAUUGGAAGGCUUCAUCAAUGGAACAAAACCAGAUCUUGAAGAACAGUUCACUCAAGUUGGAGCUGAUGGAUCUAUUCAGAAAAUUGAUAAUCCAGAAUAUCAGAAUUGGAGAUCACAUGAUCAAACAUUGCUUGGAUGGAUGCUAUCAUCAAUAAGUGAAGGUACUCUAAAUCUUGUCAUAAAUUGUGGUAGCUCGUUUGAUGUUUGGAGAACUUUAGAAAAGAAAUUUGGUGUGCAAUCUGAAGCUAGGGUUCUUCAACUUAGAUAUGAGUUAAAUACUCUUAGGAAGGAAUCAAUGAGUAUUGAAGAUUACUGCAUCAGAAUGAAAACUGUAGCAGAUAAGCUUGCUAGUGCUGGAAGUCCUAUAACAGAGAAAGAUCUCAUGCUGACAAUUCUUAAUAGCUUAGGAGCAGGCUAUCGUGAUAUUGCUACCUUUAUAACUGGCUCAAAAAUGGACUAUGAUGAUGCUUAUGCAUUAUUAUUAACUCAUGAAACCAGACUUGAACAAGAGCAGAAUGAUAAAAGCAUGUUUAAUGCAAAUUAUGCUUACACAAAUGCCUAUUAUCCAAGGGCAUUCUAUGCCCAAUCUAGAAAUAAUUUUAGAAGAGGAGGAUAUGCUGGUGCUCAGUUUGGUAAUACUGGUAGAAAUCACACUGUUGGAAGAGGAAAUAUUUUUCAGUCUCCAAGGAUGUUUAAUGGCAAUCACAGAGGUGGAUAUGGAAGAUGACACUCAUUUGGCCCAAAUAAUGUUAACUCUUUUCAUGCACCUAGGAAUCCAAUAUAAUUUACUAGGACUGGAGUCACUAAUAUGAAUGGACCUCAAGGAAUUCCAAGUAAUGCAGAAGAAUUAGUUAUCAUACUGCUGAUAUUUGCUGGCAUCGAUUUGUGGAGGAUUAUGUCCCUUCUUCAAGAAGUCUAGGCAGAGGAAAAGGACCAAGAUCAGCAUAUAUUGCUAACUUUGAUGGCUUUACAUAUCCAUAUCAAGGUUAUGAUAACUAUGAUAAUCAUCCUGCAUUUGAGACAAGCUGCUAUUCUGGAAUUGAUAACUAUGCACCUGCAGAAGCUUAUGUGGCUAAUUUUGAAAGCUUUGCUGAUGAUGGCUGGUACUUGGAUAGUGGGGCAACUCAUCACUUGACCAACAACAUGGAGAACUUGCAUUUUAAGGAAGACUACAAAGGUACUGAUCAACUCAUUAUUGGAAAUGGUCAAGGUCUUUCAAUUUCUCAUAUUGGUCAUGCAUUUUUGUCAUUUAGAGCUUCAAAACAUCCUUACACACAUGCCUCCACUAUAGCACUUAAAGAUAUGUUACUUGUUCCUACAAUCAAUAAGAAUUUACUAAGCAUCUCCAAACUUACAUCUGAUAAUUCACUCUCUGUUGAAUUUUGUGGAAAUGUCUGUUAUGUUAAGGACAUGAAGGGACAAGUUCUUCUGCAGGGCCUUGCUGAGAAAGGUCUUUACAAGCUGUUGAUGAAAUCUUCUUCCAUGUCAUCUUCAGCUUAUCAUACAUCACCUGCCUUUCAUCUUUCUCAACUUCAGUCACAGAAACCAAUAUCCAUGCUGUCAUGCUCAAAUGUGUCUUCUAUUUCUCAUCAUUGUAAUUUCUUUGAUAAGACUUGUUUCAGCUCAAUUUCAAAUAAGUGUAACCAGAAACAUGAUGAACUUACCUUGUUACACAGAAAGUUUGGUCAUCCAAGCUCAACAGUAUUGAUGCAUUUGCUUAAGACUUGUAAACAAGUUAAAGUCUCUCAAAAAUCAAUUUUAUCUCCUGAGCAUUCUAUGUGUGAAGCAUGUCAAUUAGGAAAAGCUCACAAGCAACAUUUUUCUACAACCGAAACCAAAACAACUCAAGUAUUAGAACUGAUACAUACUGAUCUGUGGGGGCCUUCACCUACUACAUCUAAAAAUGGUUUCAAAUACUACAUAAGCUUUGUAGAUGAUUACAGUAGGUAGACCUGGAUUUACCCACUCAAACUCAAAUCAGAAGCUUUUGAAGUCUUCAAAUUAUUCAAAAUCCAAGUAGAGAAUCAGUUCAAUACCAAAGUCAAGAUGCUGCAAUCUGACUGGGGGGGAGAAUAUAGAGUUUUUACUAACUUCUUAAACCAGAAUGGGAUCAUUUUCAGACAUUCAUGCCUUACACUCAUCAUCAAAAUGGUUUAGUAGAAAGAAAACAUAGACAUAUAAUUGAGUUAGCUUUGACUCUCUUAGCUCAAGCUCAUCUUCCUUUUAAAUUUUGGUGGGAAGCUGUUCAUACAGCAGUGUAUCACAUAAACAGAUUACCAACACCUGUAUUGAAACUCUUAUCUCCAUAUGAGAAGCUCUUUAAGCAUAAACCAGAUUACAGCCUCCUUAAAUGUUUUGGUUGUCUUUGUUAUCCAUACUUGAGAGAUUUUAACAAACAUAAAUUUGACUUUCAUACCAGCAAGUGCAUCUUUAUUGGUUAUAGCUCAUCUCAUAAGGGAUAUAAAUGUCUUACAAGCUCAGGCCAAGUUCAUAUCCUUAGACAUGUUGUUUUUUAUGAGAAUGUAUUUCCAUACACAACAUUCUCUGUUCCUUCUUCAUCUGAAAAUGUUGUCAACUCAGAAACACCAGUGUCAAAUUUCUCUAAACAGCAAGUCUAUCAUCUUUCAACUCUACCCUUAUUCAACAACAGCUUUGAAGAUACUUUCUCAGCAGGUGUGCCAAGUGAUGAACAAACUCCUGUUUUGCCUGAGCAUACAGAUAAUUUGAAUCAACAAGAAUCAUCUAGUUAUUCUUUAUCAGAACCAUCAAUAUCACAAGUUAUCCCUCAAAUCCCUGAAUCUACUCAAACACAACCUGAACCACAAACAAGCAAUCAACAACACUCUGAAUAUAAUCCAAACAGAAUUCAGAUCUCACAACCUACACACAAAAUGAUUACCAGAUCAAAGUCUGGAAUAUUCAAGCCUAAGUUGUAUACAGCCAUCUUGAUCAACAAAGAACCUGACACAAUUCAAGAAGCUCUGAAUGAUAAAAAUUGGUAUAAGGCCAUGAAAGAGGAAUAUGGAGCUUUGAUCAGGAAUGAGACUUGGUCUCUUGUACCACCUCCAGCUGAAAACAAAAUAGUUGGAAACAAAUGGGUGUUCAGGGUUAAACAAAAUAGUGAUGGCAGUAUAGCAAAGUACAAAGCUAGAUUGGUUGCUAAAGGUUUCCAACAAACUGAAGGGAUUGAUUAUUUCGAAACUUUUAGCCCUGUUGUAAAGGCUUCCACAGUGAGGGUUAUACUAAGCUUGGCUGCAAUGCAGAAUUGGAUGAUCAGACAGGUAGAUGUUAAUAAUACGUUUCUGAAUGGUGACUUAACAGAAGAUGUCUACAUGGGUCAGCCUGAGGGUUUUGUUGAUGAGAAGAAAUCAGGUUAUGUAUGUAAGUUGAAGAAGGCUUUAUAUGGUUUGAAACAAGCUCCCAGAGCUUGGUUUGAUAAACUAAAAGGCUGUUUGGUUGCAAACUGGGGAUUUCAAAAUUCCAGAGCUGAUACCUCACUAUUCUUUAAAGGAAAACAAGAUUCAAUGAUAUUAGUCUUGAUCUAUGUUGAUGACAUACUGAUAACAGGGCCUAACAGUGAUGAACUUAAAAAGUUUAUCUCAAACUUCAGCAAAGUGUUUGCAUUGAAAGAUUUGGGAAGACUCUCAUAUUUUCUGGGUAUAGAAGUAUCUUAUGCUGAGAACAAUAUUUACUUAUCCCAAAGAAAAUAUGUUAGAGACCUGCUAAGCAAAGCUGAUAUGCUUCACUGCAAAGGGUGUGAUACACCAAUGGUUACAGGGACAAAACUUCAAAAGGAAGCUAAGGGAUCUUUGGGUCAGCAUGUUGAAGAUGCAACAAGUUAUAGAAGUUUAAUUGGAGGGCUGCAGUAUUUAGUUCUGACCAGGCCAGAGAUAGCUUUUGCAGUGAACAAGCUAAGCCAAUAUGUUUCUGCACCUACACUACAACAUAUCCUAGCCUGUAAGAGAAUGCUUAGAUAUUUGAAAGAGACAGAAGACUAUGGAUUAAAGUUUUCAGCUGAUGGAGAAAUAAAGUUAACAGGUUUCACAGAUGCAGAUUGGGCAUGUGAUAUUGAUGAUAGGAAAUCAACAGGUGCAUACUGUAUUUACUUGGGAAAUAACUUGAUCUCUUGGUCAUCCAAGAAGCAAUCCAUAGUUACAAGGUCAAGUGCAGAGAGUGAGUACAGAGCUCUUGCUUCUGCAAGUGCAGAAAUUACAUGGUUACAGUCAUUGUUCAAGGAACUCAAGAUUGAAUGUAUUUCAGUGCCUACAAUCUGGUGUGACAAUAUAAGUGCAACUGAGCUGGCCAAAAAUCCUGUCUACCACUCGAGAACCAAACACAUUGAAUUGGACAUGCACUUUAUAAGAGACAAAGUGUUAGCAAGAGAGCUGGAAAUCAAUUACAUUCCCAGUGAAGAACAGAUUGCAGAUAUCCUGACCAAGCCUCUCACAUUCACUCAAUUCAAUUAUCUCAGGAGCAAACUUAAUGUGCAGCCAUGCCCCUUAAGUUUGAGGGGGGCUGUUAAGGAAGCCCAUUGAGCAUGUGUGUCAAUGAUGAGUCAGCAGUUAGUUGGGUAAAGAAGCCAACUCAGCAAAUCUGUUAAUCAUGUUUUACGUUCUAUUCUUCAGUUGUUAGUGAAGCUUUUAAUUCUGUUGAGAUAUGAGUUAGUAUAAAUAAGUUGUUAUUGUAUUUUGUAAAUAACAAUGUGAGAUUCAAUAAAAGAAGAAUAGUUUCUAAGGAAAAAUAUUGAUCAUUAUUUUCUUAGCUUCCAAACAACUUUUACAGUCACAAUUCAACUUUCUAACAGCUGGGAAGAGGGAAAUAAGAAGUUUGGAUAAAUUGCUAAAAUAAGAAGUUGAAUAGAUUUAAGGGAGGAGGCGAGGAAAAGAGUGAAAAAUCUAGAGAUGAAACAAAGGGGGAUCCUUUUUCUGCUAAGAAAAAUUGAAAAGCGAGUACAAUAAAUGAAAGAUUUGCAAAGAAGGUGUAGGAUCGAGGACAAGAACGAUUCAGAAAAGGGAGA
Molecule: long non-coding RNA, 71963 nt
Filed under: Citrus maxima (pomelo)
Lineage: Eukaryota; Viridiplantae; Streptophyta; Magnoliopsida; Sapindales; Rutaceae
Description: long non-coding RNA (CMAX_LNC000935)
Rfam family: Plant small nucleolar RNA R71 (bases 16620-16723)
Source: RNAcentral